Molecule: long non-coding RNA, 51885 nt
Filed under: Ananas comosus (pineapple)
Lineage: Eukaryota; Viridiplantae; Streptophyta; Magnoliopsida; Poales; Bromeliaceae
Description: long non-coding RNA (ACOM_LNC008144)
Source: RNAcentral
UGGGUGAUAUAAUUUGUUCACCAAGAAAAAGAAGAUAAAAUGGUAUAUCAUUAUGCAGUGUGAAAUUAUUACGUAUCUUUCCUGGAUGAGGGUUGCAAAAAGUUUUUAAACUUUGAUUGCAAAUUAUGUACGUGUUAAUAUAAUGUGACCGGCUAUCACCCAAUUCUGCAUUUUAAAACUUCGUAUGAACUAAUUUACCUCUUUAAAUUGUUGUUUAUAUAUUAAUUUUGUAAGAACAUUAAAAAGUUUAUAGAUUUUAUGCAUAGCCCUUAACCAAGAACAAUUGUGUAGCACCAAAUUAAAAGUAAGCUAAGUCGAUAACACGAUAAAAUUUUGUGUGAUUUCCAUUGAAUUAUUAUAUAUUAGAUAAUAAUUUCAUCAAAUUUGAUAAUUUACAAUAUUUUUAUCAAAAACUAAAAUUAAUUACAGAUUUAAGCUAAUAAACUGUUAGAUCUAAUAAAAUUUUAACUUAAUUAAACUAAAAGAAUUUAAACAAAACAAUUUAAAAUGAAAGAUGUGUGUGUGUGUGUGUGUGUGUGUGUGUGUGUGUGUAAACAAUUUAAAAUGAAAGAUGUGUGUGUGUAAGAUGUGUGUGUGUGUGUGUGUGUGUGUGUGAAGAUGUGUGUGUGUGUGUGUGUGUGUGUGUGUGUAAACAAUUUAAAAUGAAAGAUGUGUGUGUGUGUGAAGCAGCUCCAAAACUCGACACUGUAAAGCUACUUUUAAACUAAUCAGGGAGCAGUAAAUAACAAGUUCCUACGUGGAGGGGAACUAAAAAAAGAGACCAGCCCUUUAUUUCUUUUUUUUUUUNAAAGAAACCCUUUACGUGUUUUUUUCUUAAUUUUCAUGUAAAUAUUGGUAGCUAAAUAACAAGUUUUUUCAAAAAGUUCGCGUCCGUUCAAAACUUUUCCAAAGACUUUAUUAGUGAAAAAUAUAGAAUAUUAGUGAAAAAUGUUAUCUCUACAUGUUUAUAUAGAUAUAAAUUUUAUACUUUUUUAAAAUUUAAAAUUUAUAAAAAUAUAAAUAAAUUUUAGUAAAAAAAAUAACGACUAGAGAGUUUUUUUUUAAAAAAAAUAAAAAACUUAAUAGAUGAGGUAUGUAUCUGGCACUUAAUUUAAGAAUGCAGGUAACAUUGCACUUAAUUUAAUGUACGAGACCACAUAAGAUAUAGGACACACCUAGUAAUAUUGAACAGGCUUUUAUGCAUUUGUAUUGUUCCCCUCAACAACCGUACUCCCCCGUGUGUACGUACAUCUUUGCUGCUUAAUUUGUCCCCUUGUGUAGUGAGAUAAUCAAAAUUUCAUGCGAAUCCAAAUUGAAACGGAGUGAAUUUAUCAGAUUCUAAAUAAAUAUGAUUUUGAAUAUGAAUAUCAAAAAUAAAAAUUCGAUAAAUAUAAAUUUUGACUGUAUCCGACCCGAAUCUAAAUAAGAUCCAAACCCGAUCCAGAUCCGAAUUUAUUUUACAUUAUAUAUAAUAUGUAUAUAAAAAUUUGAUGUUAUAUUCGUAUUUGUAUUUUAAAAUUUAGAUUUCAUGUAAUAUAUUUUGAAAUAUUAAAAAGAGAAAUAAUUAUUUCAGGUUCGAAUUUUCGGGUUUGAGUUUCGAAUUUUUUGUUGUGUUCGGGUUCAGAUUUUUAAAAAUCCGCCCGAAUCCGAACUGUUGAAUACUAUUUUAUAUUAAUAUAAUUUAAGAUGCAGAAAUUUUCUAGACACAAAAUUCUCUUACCAUGUUUUGUAGCCAAAUAAAGUUUAGCAAUCAACAGCUAAACACCAACCAUUCCUAGUGCAAGUGAUAAAUGGCUUAUUAGUUGGUAUCCGAGACCCAAGUUCGAAUCCUCACAUUUCCAACUAAUUUUAUUUUUAAAUAAAAUAAAGGGAACAAAAAAAAAAAAGAAAAAGUAAUCAACGGCUAAAAGCGUAAUUGUGAAACUGAAAAUUUAAUUAAUUUCCGAACCUAAGCUGCAGAAAAUCUGCGCUCUCCCCAGCCCUCACUGCUUGCACUCAAUUAUUAUUAUUAUUUUUAACUCAGAGAAAUCGUGCAGUGAAGAACUGCUGUGCUACAUCUGUCUCGUCCAAUUGUAAAAAGUUGAACAAAAAAUAAAAUCCACCGUCCCUAGAGCAAGUGGCAAAGAACGUGAUGGUUGGUAUCCGAGAUCCAAAUUCGAAUCCUAGUUGAUUCACAUUUCCAGCUAAGUUUAUUUCUAAAUCAAAUAAACGAAGCGGAUAGCGUAUUAUCUAUCUCUCUUAAAAAACGGGCUAAAUGUAAAUUAAAAUUUCCACUUUAAAAUCUUAAUAAACUGAAGACGAGCUAAGGUCACCUCGUACGGGUUCGACUCGAUAUAGCUCGACUCUCUAUCUCUCUCUCUCUCUCUCUCUCUCUCUCUCUCUCUCUAUAUAUAUAUAUAUAUAUACUUAUAGAGUCUGGUUAUGAUGCUUUUAAUUAAAAGUACCAAAUAUUUGGGACUUGUAAGUUUGUCACCGAGAUAGGUAGCGUGCUACCUAUCUCUCUCUCUCAAAAAAAAAAAACUAUUCAAGAGCUACACCGACUGUCCCUAGCACAAGUGGUAAAGAGUUUGACAGUUGGUAUCCGAGAUCCCAAGUUCGAAUCCUAAUUGAUUCACAUUUCCAGCUAAGUUUAUUUCUAAAAAAAAUUAACGAAGUUGGUAGCAUGUUGUCUUUCUCUCCAAAAAAAACCCUACUUUAGAAGUAUUUCAACUUAAUAAUAUUAUGUAAUAUAUAUAUAUAGUUAGGCUGGAAUAUUAUUAAUAACAAAAGAUCCUAUUUGCUAUCAAGUUUUUAACCCUUAGAUGAGAAAUUGUAAGAUUAGCAUGAUAUUAGUCCCUUAAGGUUGAGUGGUCCUUCCUAGANCAUAUAUAUAUAUACAUAUACAUAUAUAUAUAUAUAUAUAGAGUCUGGUUAUGAUGCUUUUAAUUAAAAGUACCAAAUAUUUGAAACUUGUAAGUUUGUCACCGUUAAACCUAUCUCUUUAACGAAUUCUAUUUCUUCGAUUAUAUUAUUCCACUAGUCACCUACAAAUUCUUAGGGACCAAUAUUAUCUCUUUCUCUCUCUCUCUAUAUUGUAGAGCUACUAUGCUUCCGACUUUUUAGCCUUUGAUCAAGAAUUAUAGGGUCAGAAAAAUAGUGGUUUCUCUUGGGGUUGUGUAACGUCCCAAUAGUCCCACAUUGAAUGGGAUACUGAUUUCGAUCGGUUUAUGUAAGGCCUACAUGCUAGUAAUAAUAAUGGGUUUAAGCAUUUUGGGCUGGUGGUUUGGGUCUAACGAAUUAUUGUUGCUAGCGGGUCGCGCGUGUCAUUGCAAUUGAUAUCAGAGUCGAAUAUCAACCGGAAGUGUGAGAGCUAAGUGCUAUGCGGGGCAAAGUAUUACACCAACGGAUUUGGUGGGAGCCACCUCUUGAACUCGUAGGAGACACCUUUAGAAUCUCAUAUCACAUGGUAAUUUUGGUCUUGAUUUGUCUGUCUGUCUAUGAUCUAGUUUGGAUCUGUCUGUUUGUGAUCUGGUUUAGACCUGACGAGGACAUCAGGAUCUAAACAGGGGGAGUUUGUAACACCCCAAUUUCUAUCAGUUUAUAUGGCCUACACGCUAGUAAUAAUAACGUGGUUUAAGCAAUUUGGGCCGGUGGUUUGGGCCUAACAAGUUAUUGUUGUUAGGGAGUCGGAUCGUUACAGGUUGAGUGAUCCUCCUUAAGGUUGAGUGGCCUCCCUAGGAUAAUAAUAUUAAUUCAAAAAUAAAAAAUAAUUUAAGAGAUUGAUUCAGAGUAAAAAAAAUUGAAAGUACAAACUCUCUUAUACUUCCGAAAAUAUAAAAACUCUACUCUCUCUUUCUAUAUAUAGAGUUGAGCUAGCUAUAAUACAUAUAAAGGCACAAAUACCUUAGUGCUUUUAGGUUUUCUACCAUUUGAUCAACCCUUUGGUCAUUUCUAACUUUUUGAUUAAAUACUAUUCCACCUACUACCAUUAAAUCCAAGUUGGCUUCUAUCAUCCUAGUCCUACAACAACUCCAUUCAACUAUUCAAGAGCUAGUUGAUUCACAUUUCUAGCUAAAUUUAUUUUUAAAUGAAAUAAACGAAGCGGGUAGCGUGCUACCUAUCUCUCAAAAAAAAGAAUGAUAUCUAUAAACUAAACAAGUCUUGUAUCUUAGUUGUUUUAUCACGAAACGAAUCAAAUUGUAACCUACAUUCUCACCUCGUAUACUCCACUUUGGAGUCACAUUAUUCAAUCAACUUCCCGAUCUAAUAGAUAAAGACUCAAGGAAUCUCUAAUUAACAGCUUCAACUUACUGCUAAACCCCGUGUUCAGACGUGAAUGAUCUUCUUAAAACCAAAAAAAGGGAAAAAAAAUUAAGAGCUUCAAGUGGCUUCGUAGAUGGCACAUCCCACAGCUUUGCAAGAGGAGCACGCAACAAUUCCAAAGUUUCAUCUCAAGUAACCAAUUUGGCUUAUUUAAAUCACAAAAAUUACACAAGAGAUUGAACCAUCAAUAACAUAUGAGCACACCCCUUAAUUUUUNUCCAACCCUUUGCCUUCCCUCCGCAUAUAACGUCUAAUUAAUGUAUCCAUUCAUUUUAACCCUAAUAUAAUCGUAAAUCAUAAAAACUCACGCAAAAGCCUCAUUCUCUCUUAUGCAUGUUAUGAAAAUAAAAGCCUAUUUUAUUUCUUAUAAUAAAUUACAACCUCCUUCAUUUAGCAAGAGGUGUGGGAUCUAUUUACUUUUUUUUUUUAAUUCCUAAUUUUGAUGUAUUAUCCUCUUUUCAUUUAGCCUGAGACGUGGGCGAUGCUUCAGGUCAUAGCGAUGGCAGAGGUGGUGAAUGUGAUGGCACUGGAGACUAAGACGGCUGCGGAAGAAAGCGUGGGCAUGACAGUGGAGAUCGAGACGGCAGUAAAAGCAAUGGCAAGCCUCGCCCUCUUAGAGACCAAUAUUAAGUGAGAGUUUCUCUAUCUUUUCUUUGUUUUCUCUCUCUUCUUAUUUUCUAUUUUUUUAAUUUAUUUUUAACCUAUUUUACAGUAUUUUUUGAAAUUAUUUGAUAGUUUCUAUUUAAGAUGAGUUGGAUUGGAUUAAAAAUCUAAUACUCUGAUAAUACCUGCCCGUCGCAUCGCCCGGAUAACUACACUAGUAUACAUAAAAAAUAAAAAAAAUGGAGAUAUUUUUCACCUGCUCCUUAUUUAGUUCCCGGGAUGGGUGCAGAAUCUCCUGACCAAUCACGUGCAAGCGAGGCACGGCAGCACGGAAGGGCCCUGGGGUGGGUCCCACCAUACGCCGGUGCUCCGCUGGCCGUCUGAUCUGAUCGGACGCACGUUCGCGUACGUGCGGGGCCGCUGGUUCCGUCCCUUAUCGCCUGAACCGGGUGUACAAGUACGGCAUAGUUUGGUCCAGCGCACGCAUGGCUCAUAUUUUAUACUAAAAAAAAAUCAAAAAACUAAAAAUUUGCUUUCAAUAUUUUCUCCCCCACUACUGUAAAAUUACAGUAACAACCAUCACUGGAAAAUACCCUAAAGCAAGUGGCAAGGACUUGGUGGUUGGUACCCGAGAUCUAAGUUCGAAUCCUAGUUGAUUCACAUUUUCAGCUAAAUUUAUUUCUAAAUGAAAUAAACAAAGCGAGUAGCGUGCUACCUAUUUCUCAAAAAAAACUACCACUGAAAAAUACAUGACUAUAUGCUUCUCAAAUGAUAGAUAUAUAUUAUAUACUCAUAAUUUUAUAACGUUGGAAGAGAAAACAUUAUAAAUACUUUUAAAUUCUUUUGAUCUUCCAAUUAUAAAAAUGAUGAUUUCUAUCGCCAUUUUAUCAAACUAUGCCCACAUUCUAUACAUCACACCAUUAAAUCUGGACGAUAAAAGUCCAAAAUUAAAAUCUUUUUUUUUUCACUAUAAAUUUUUGUGACUAACUAUUAUGUAGAUCAUAAUAUAUUUUUUUUAAAAAAAAUAUUUUACACUCAAUUCGUUAUCUUUCCGGCACAGGUCAUAUUUAAAUACUUUAUAUUACAUUACAUAUAUAAGCUUGAAAAUUUUAAUGAAGUGGUGUAUAGAAUGUAUGAAUACACUCGGUGCAGGCACUAAAUUCCGGUGCCUGUUUAAUGUUUUUGUGGGACAAGCGCACCGCAGUGCGGGCCCCACUGCCCGCGCCUACGGGAAGCCCUCCCCAUGCUCUCUAUUUAUUAUUAUUAUUAUUAACACCAAAUAUUAACGUUUUCGAUAAUAUUAUAACACCAUCUAAGCCAUGGAGCUCUUUAACUCAACUGGUUAGGAUUCUAUAGAUUUAAAAUCUUAUCUUAUUAAGAACUAAACCCCAAAAUAUAUAUAUAUAUAUAUAUAUAUAUAUAUAUAGUUUCGCUAUUAUGCUAUUAAUAGCACGAAGCACGUACAUCUUUUAAUUCAAUGAUCNUUGCGGCCUUUAUCACAAGUCCCCAACCUCCCCCUCCGUUCCUUUCUCUUUUUUUUUUUCCGAAAAAAAAAUAAAUUAAUUAAAAUUUUUAGUAACUAAUUAGUAUUUUUCUUAGCUCACCUUUUUUCUUGUUCUCCACCACCACCUCCUCUCUCUCUCUCUCUCUCUUCAAGAUUCCUCUCUUCUCUUCGACGAAGCUAUCUCCCCCAUGGCGGUGGACUUGGAGAGCUUCUCGAUCCGGUAAGUAUCGGUGGCGAUUAGGUUUUCUCCUUGCGGUUUCUCCGAUCUUUUUCUUUUUCUAGGGUUUUGAUCCGGUCGUUUUGCUCUUCAUCUUGUUGAAGGGAGUUCGCGGCGAAGAUGAGGAACUUGGAUUUGGGGGGGAGCUGGCCCUUCGAAGGCGUGGGGAAAGAGGGAGUCGAAGCUCGAGCUCUGCCCCCGAUCUCCGCUCGGAGGUUCCGGUGGUGGUCCGACGAGCUCGACGCCGCUCGAUCGAGGGAGGCGGCGGCAGCUAGGGCUGACGUGGACGGCUCCGAUCGCCUCGGCGAGGAACCCGCGGUCGAAACCCUAGCCGAGAAGCCGCUUUUGGAUGGGGAGGAGGAGGAAGAGAGGCCGAUGAGAGCUUCUUGGAGGAGCAAGCAAAGGGCGCCGAAGAAGAAGAGGUCGAUCGCGGAGAUCUUCGCGCUCUCGCCGUUGAUCGAGGGCGUCGAGGAAGAAUCCGACGGCUGUGAUGGAGACGACGUAGGAGGCGAACGCGAGAGAGACGCUGAGGGAGGAGGCGGAGGCGUAGGACGAGAUCUGGGAACUGAGACGAGAGAGAGAGACGACGAAGAAGCUUCUAGAAAAGGAAAAGAAUCGGCGAAAGACGAGGAGAGGAUCGAAAAUAGUUCAAGAAAGAUCGAAAAAAAGAGAACAAAUAAGAAAAAAUCGAAGAUAAAUAAGAAGCUGAAAAUGGGGAUCUCCGUUUCCGAAAAGGUAUGUGGUCACGUUUCUCUCCACAUCAUCUACUCACAGCUUUUUUUGGGUAAUGAGGUUUACGGUUUUUUUUUUUUUUUUUUUUUUUUUUUUUCUGGUGCUCUCCUAUUUCUCCUUUUAGCUAGGCGUUUAACCAGCGUACGGUAAAUCACUAGUAGGUAUAUGAUGUUUUCGUAAUAACUUUGAGCUAAUUAUCUAUUCAUAGUGAUUGGUUAUACUGAUUAACGCGAGACGCGGACUCAGUUCGGUACUUAUCUGUGCAGCUUAAAUUGGUGAUAUUUUAUGUGCGAAUUCACCGCGUUAGGCCAUUUUGUGCUGUGAAUUCGCUUCUCGUUGAUGUUAGCGGUUGAUUUAUUUAGACACUAGGUUAUGGUACUGGGGUAAGCAAUAUCUCAUGUAUCAUCACUGUAGUUUGGUGAAUUAUUUGUGGCUGCUUAGUUUAGCCCGUACUGCGCGGUUAGAGUACUACGUUGUAUAUCACACAUUACGUUGUUGCGUAGUGUUUAAAUCGUACCUGUAAAAGAAGCAGCUUGGAUUUAGUGAAUCAUUUGUUUUGAUAUUAAGUUGUCACUUUGGCAUCAUUCUAUCCUCCUUUGGUUUAGUUGAACUAAUGAUUGCGUCGCUUAUUUUCAAAUCUUUGAAUCUAGAUUAAUCUCCUACUGUAUGGUUUUUGGCUAUCUUCACCUUCGUAUUAUUGGCUUGAAUCCCGUGAUUUUGAAGAUUACUGAAUUUCAAGAUGAUUUUUCUUGUUCAAAAUUUUUAGGCUGAUUCUUCUAGACUGCUAGGUAUCGUGAAAUGCCGCCCGUAGUUCGGAAUAUAUAGACUAUAGUGUCACAGCAAUAGUACACAAGGAAACAUUAUGAUAGGGUUCUUUGAUGAUUAUUAUAGUUCUAGACAUUUUAACCUAUAGUUUCCUUUUACGAAAGUCGGGAUGCUUGAAAACUUUGACCCGGACGCAAUUAACAGUUCCUGCUAUGCCUGGAUAUUGGGCUGUUUGUGAGCUGGGUAAGCUGGAAUGACUCUUUAUUAGGAGGCUUUCAUUGGCGGCUAGUUUUUUAUUUUUCUUUUGCUCAAUAUCCAUCAUUUAAACAAUUCGAAAGGAAGAAGUAACUUAGAUUUGUAGAGUGUGCAUAGACAUUUCCUAAAGAGAAACAGAAGAAGAAGCUCUAAUACUUGGGGUGUUAAAAGAAGAUCAUAAAAGCCUAAAGCAAGGGCAAGACAGUGGCUACGAAUUAUGGACUUGGAGAAGUUUAUUUGUUUUAUUGAACAGCGAUACAAAAUUUCAUGGAUUCACAGAAAGUAACUUGGUUGCAAACAAAAGUUGCUUCUCAUGCGUUAUACUUUUUUUUUUUCAGCUAUACUUAACUCGAUGCACCUAUUUUUAGGUGAACUUUGACUAGAUUUGGCUUUCUCCUUGUUUUAAACACUCGAAUAAUAUGUAAAUGAGAACUACUCGGUGUUUUGUCAAGAAGCAAUAAUUAGCUCUUUUUUUCUCUUUUUUUUUUUUUUGAGGGAUAGGGGUAGCACGCUAUCCGCUUCGUUUAUUUAAUUAGGAUUCGAACUUGGGUCUCGGGUACCGACCACCAAGCCUUUGCCACUUGCUCUAUGAACGGUCGUUAAGAAGCAAUAAUUAGUUAAGUGCUAAAAGAUGUCAACACAACAUAUAUAUAGUAGGAAGAUGAUGACCAAAGAUGCAAUUUUUUGGAGUUCAUGAUAAUGUGAGUUUGGAUAUAAAGUUGUGGGUAGGUAAGGCACAACAAGUCAUUAGUCAAGUUUUCUGUUGCCCGAAGCUUCUUUUUUGGAUUUUAUUGGGGUCACUCUAAGAUAUUGGUGUCGUAUAGUUAUGUUGGUGGAAAGGACAUCAGACUCAAUACAGCUAAUCGCGCAAGCAAAGAUGGUAGGCAACAGCAAGAAACUUAAACUUGUGAGAAAAUGUAAUAAUAAGUUUUUCUAAAUUGCGUGCGGUUUGCCAAUCUUCUAGCUUAUUUAUUCAAAUUUCUCUAGGGUUUUGAGCAAUGUGGGAAGUUUGUACCAUUGAGUUUUUCGGCAAGAAGAUUUACUUAAGCGGGUUUGAAUGGACCAUAUUAGCAAGACCGGUAAAACAAGUAAAAGAUCUGAGGUGUUAGCAUGCAAGUGCUGACUAUCUUUAGAUCGAUUUCUGGGGUUCUUCUUUGCCGAUUGUUGAUGAUUUUUCAGUUCACAAAUUUGAAAAUCACUUGAAACUUUAUUGUUCAGGCAAUGACUUUUCCAAUUUAACUUUAUUUGAUAAAAUUGUAUCUAAUGGAUGUUCGGAUUAGUUCAUUCUACAACAAAGGUAUUGCUAGAAGCCCCAUUUAUAAUUUUGAAUUUGAUGUUACCCGUUUGCAAGAAUUUAUAACUAGUAAUUUUUUCCGAUAAAAUUUUGAGAUAUAUUCGAGGUAGAUUGAUUAACAAAUGGAGUUGGUUAAAUGCUGAAGAGGCUAGAUGUGCACUACUAUUGGGUGGAACAGUAAUGUAAACUGUAUCAUUAAAUGAUAGUUAAAUUACUACUUUGUUUCAUAUUUAUGUAUCUACUUAUCUUGUUAUCUAUUAUUAUUUUGUGGAAGAGGAUUAUUACUUACGCUGCUUAUGGUUUUAUGUCUGUUUUUUAGCUAACGAAAGAAUUUUUAAUUCGGCACUAGAAAUAUUAGGAAGGCAAAUAUGAAAUAUAGGAUUUGGUUGGUGAUAUCUAGGGGUGGAAUCCAGCUCGCUGUGCGAAACCAGCUCGGUGUUCUUGCUGGAAAUGAUCUCGCAGAUUCAAUCGUUCGUUUAUGUCAAAAGACGACACGAGCUGACUUUUUCAGCUCGUUUGAUAAACGAUCGCACCGAGAUAGCUGGUCAGCUCGCUCGUGUUCGACUCGAUUAACAGCUCGAAUAAUCAUAUUUUUUAGUUUAUAUAAUGUUAUAUAACUUAUAUUUAUAUAUAUAAAUAAAAAUAUAUAUGUUCAUACAGUUUUUUGUAUUGAUUUUUUUUUCAACUAAUUAGUAAAAUCGCAACUAAUAUAAAAGGCUUAUUUAUAUGUAAAAUUUUAAUCAUUAAAUUAAAGUCUAAUGCUAAAGAUCUCAUAAUUUAUUUUUUUAUAUAUAUCCUUUUAAUUUAAAUUUGUUUUUGAGAUAUCUCAAUUUUUGGCUUCAUUAAUAAUGAGCCGGAACUUGUGUUCGUAAACGAGCGAACACGGGAGCUGCACUUUCGACUCGAUACCGUAAUGAGGCCGCUCGAGCUCGGCUCGUUAUGAUACGAGCGACACAGCCGCAUCAGCUCGCUCGUGUUCGGCUCGUUGACACCCUUAGUGAUAUCAGUAUGCCUGGGUAGUCUGUUGAAAGAUUAAUGUAAUUAUAACUAUUGGAGAUAUGCAUAAAUUUGUGAUUUUAUUGGUGCUUUAUAGAUAGAUGAUUGAUUGACGUAUAUGCGGUAUCUACAUAUUGCUUGGAUUAGGAUGACACUUCUCUAUGCUAUAUAUCAAAUAUAUACUAAAGAUCUGAUGUUGUUUUGAAUCUAUGGGGAAAGAUUUAAAAAAAAAUUAUAAUUUCUGGGGAUAAUUUCUUAUGUUUCUCUAUGAAGCUAUGAAAUUACAUAUUCAUCCUUAGAAAAUUUUAUUGUAUCCCUAUAAAGUUUUAAAUUAUCAAAUAUGUCCCUCUAAAGUAAAAUAUGCAAAUUUAUCCCUACAAGUUGAGUACCAUUACCGUUAAAUUUUCAUCAAUCUGGCCAUGAUGCCCUUGUAAAAAUUGGCUUUUCUAAAAAUAUUUUUUAGGAUUUAUAAUAUGUGGUUCACCUAAACCGACACAAAAGUCAGAAUAAAACAUUAAAAAUAAGAAAAUAUUACUAAAUAUUAUUAGAAAGAUAUUUAUUUAACAGUAAAAUGGUUAUUUCCUUGAAGAAAAGUCUACUUUAACUGGUCAACUACAAGGGAAGGACAUAUUCACAGAUUAUGCAAUUUUGGAGGGAUAUAUCUGAUAACUAAAACUUUAUGGCGAUGCAUGAAAUUUUGUAGGAAUAAAUAUGCAAUUUGUUACUUUGUAGGGACACAAAUGCAGCUAACCUUGAUUUCUUUAGAAUGAACAAAACAUGAUUGGAAAUGGAAGGUGUGCAAAAAUGAUGAAUAGAUUGCUAUUUGAGGGGAAAAACACAAAGAUGCAACAUCAAACAUGCUUACAUUGUUUAUGAAUUAAAGAGACAUAUGGAACCUUUUAAGGACAUAAAGACAUAUAUAGACAAAGAUCAAAAGCAAUUUGGGGACAAAGAUCAAAAGCAAUUUGAUUGUAAAUAUAUAGACAAACGAGAAAGCUACAGUAAUUUUAGUAUUUAGUUCCUAGCUAAGAAGUUCAAAAAUAUACAGUUCGACUAAUUUUAGAUUUGAGGUUGGCUUAUUAGAUCCUACAAUCACAAGCGAAUUUUUUUAAAAAUUUAAUUAUACUUAAAUCAUUCCAGUCGGUGGUAUAACGAAAAAGUUAUAGGUAAUAUUUUGAUUCGGUCCCUGGAUAUAUAUAUAUAUAUAUAUAUAUAUAGAGUCCGGCUACUAUACUUUUAUGAGUAUUGGCUCCCUUAUACUCAUAAGUUUUCGGCCCUUAUAUUUAUUCCAUUGAUUAUUUUCACCCGUUAGAUCAUACUAUUCAACCAACUACUCACUCAACCCUAGGGGACCACUAUUAUUCUAAGUGAGGAUCACCAUCAUCCUACCCACACAUCCAAUCAAUCAACGGUUAAAAAUUUAUGAGUACAAGGGGGUCUGUACUCAUAAAAGUAUAGUAGCCCUAGCCUAUAUAUAUAUAUAUAUAUAUAUAUAUAUAUAUUGUGAAAUAGGUAGCACGCUAGUACGCUACCCGCUUCGUUUAUUUCAUUUAGAAAUAAACUUAGCUUGAAAUGUGAAUCAACUAGGAUUCGAACUUAGGUCUCGGGCGCCAACCAUCAAGUCCUUUGCCACUUGCUCUAGGGACGGUCGGCGUCCCUGGAUAAAUAUUGAAAACUAUAAUUUAGUCCUUAACCGUUCUCUAACCUAUUAUAUCAAAACUUUUAUUAAUUUGGACAAAUUAAUGGGCACUCAAAACAUUGUCGAUCAAGCCGCAACAUCCUAACUAAAAUAAUGCAUUUAAGGUUAUUAGUUCUUUUUAUGGUUUAUAUUUAAAUUUCAUCUUUUUCUUAUUUAUUUGGUCAGUUAUGAAAAGAAUAUGAAGAAAUAAAUAAAUUAAGAAAGAAUAACCUUAACUUGGAGAAGAAUAGAGGAGAAUGCAUGCUUCUAUGAGGUAGGAUUUUAUUGCUCCCAAGCCUUCUAUGCUACCACGAAGGAGAGAAAAGGAUCACUCCCUUUCGAAGCUUCAGAACAAUCCCACCCCCCCCUCCCCCAACUCUGUUUAACUAGUUGGGAAGAACAUGUGUAUAGGAGUUAAGCUGCUAAUAAGUUGAAUUAAGGCCACAUUUGCUAAAACCCCGUCAUUCUUUAGAUAUUUGCAAAUUAAUUAAAUUUGGAGUUGUCAGAUUAUAUGGGGCUCUUUUGGUGGUUAGAUUAUGUGAUCAUCACCUAAUUUCUUAUUGAGUUUUUGAACAAGUUUUCUUAUGACAUGUCAGGCUGACCAGAAUCUUGCAAAUUAUAUUCGGAUUUCGUAUUAGUUAAUCGGAUGUCAAAAUGACAAGAAACUUGAGAGCACUCUGAAAAUAAUUCUCUUAUUUGAACGGGAAGUUUUUUGUGAUGUUUGCGAUCAUUUGAUUUGUCAAAUAAAAUAAAAUUUUCUCUGUUUGGAAUCCUAAUUUACUAAUCAGAGGAUCCGAGCAUUGGACUGUGCUGAAAUUUUAGGGCGUAUGAGAUUUAACAAGUUGUCAAAAUGUCAUAAUUUUUUAUACCAUUUGACACAUGAAUAAGUCAAAAUCAAAAUUAAUCAAGAUUUUUGAGCUAACUAAUUUAGAAGAAUCAGGUGAAUAGGUUACCUCAAAAUUCAAGAUCCUAUUCCUUCGAAUUUAAAAUCAACAUGAUGUUAAAAAAUCUUUUUACUUUUUUAUCACCAUUUCAUUUGCAGAAUAUCGUAUAAAAAUAAAUAAGUUUAAAAGCUAUUCUAUAUCGAGUAGUGUGAGUCUGUUUUAAUAUAAUUUAAACCUGGGUCUCACACUUGCAAGCUUUAAAUUAUCUUGCUACAGUAGUGAUGACGCUGAGGUUUAAGUUGUUUUCCAACUUGUAUAUAAAUUUAACCAGGCAUGUUAUUAGUUCACUGAGCCUUAGCAUAUUCAAUGCCUCUUUAUCCAGGAAACUAUUGGUAAGAUUAGAUUGUCGUAACUGCAUUAUUUACUAAAUGCACUCAAAUCGUGAGCAUGAUUUGCAGCUUAAAGUUCAAGAAGGAAAGCUUGUUCACUUACACAAAAGGAAGCCAGGAAAAAUUCGAUCUCUACCAAAGAAGCAGAAGCUGAAUUAUACUCGAAAUGCAAAAUUGAAGCUUAAAAACCUGGAGGAGGUAGUCAGGACUUUACCUGUACGUCGCAGGCUUAAGAAACAGACACAGAGUGCUUCUAUGAAAAAGACAAAGGGGACAAAAAUUUGUAGUGAAUCCGCUAAAAGUGUUAGUUCUUCAGGAGUUGAUGGCUCAAAGGAUGGUAAAACAUGUCGCUCUUUCGAGCUGCCUCAACUGAAAAGCCUUUGUGACAUAUUUUAUGGUGCAUUGGCUGCAUCAUCAGCUGAGGACACUUCCCAAAAAGGUUCCAAGGGCUUCACUGGCAGUCUGGAAUCCCAGGUGAAAAAUAUAAGGGACAAAGAUGCUGUUUCAAAAUCUGUAGGCAGGAAAGAUGGAGCCUUCUCUGAUAAGAAGUAUGCUGAUUCCCUUUUGUCUAUUGAUUCCCAAAGCGAUUUUCUGGGCACAGAAGGUAAUUUGUUGACUGAGCCUGUAGAUUUAAAUCAGAAGUAUGCUGGUGAACCAAGUGCGCUGAAUCCUGUUCGUGAAUUGAAUUUGAAUUCUGAUUCUGAGAUGAGUCUUCUUGGUGAGACAAGACUACAAAUUACAUCUGAUGCUGCAAAAGAACCACCAGUUUCAAUUGAGAAUUGUGUUCCAAAUUCAGAUACAGUAAGUUCGUUGUCUCUGCUAGGUGAUUGGAGUUCAGCACUCUUGACUUCUCAUCCACAACGGGGUAUGGAAGCAACUAAGUUGGAUUCGUGUAAUUCCAAGAGAUUCGGAAAUUUGAGAACUCCAUUAGAUCAAUGUUUUCCCUCUCGAGACAGAAGGAUUCAUGAGGAAUUCAACGGUUUGCCUCUACGCUUUAGUGGAGAACUUAUCCAGUUAGCCUCAAGUUCUGGUUCCGCUUAUAAUGAAUCCCUUAAGAAGCAAAUGCUUUAUCCUGUUUAUAGCACUAUACUAUCUAAUCAUGUUGAGUUGAUGAAUGACCAGCCAAAAAUGAAAGGGAAUAUUUCUAGCGCAUCACUUGAGGAGAUAGGCCGUCCAAAUAAGUUGCUGGAACAGCUGUCCGCUGCUGCAGAAACAGCAACAUCUGAAUUGGGGUUUACCGGCUUUCGAAAUUUCGGAAAAUCAGAAGCACGAAACCAUGAGUCAAAUAAUAAAAUUUGGCUUUCUCAAUCUCACUCAUAUCAAUCAGAGGUUUCAGGUUGUCGGUGCAGCGAAACUAGUAGAACUCAAAAUUGCAUCAAUGGAGAGAAAUCGAUAUGCGAGUUUCAGCCUCCUAUGGGACAAACGAUGCGCUUGAUGGGCCAAAAUGUGACAGUUGGGAGACAGAGCAAAGAACAUGAAGCUUCUAUUGAAGGGAAGGUAUGGACAGAUAAGGAAAUAAUUCUGGAAAGUCGCCCCUCAGUAAGACCAUCUGAUAUAUCCAGCCCAAAUGGAUGGCCUGAAGGGGGACCAAUUCACUCCGUAGCUCUAUCAGAAGCAGACGGUUUAUUAAAGCAAAGCUUUUUCCGUCCAGUAGAAGCUCCACCAAGCUUUUAUAGAAUGGCAGCAUCUGGUACUACUUUCCGGCAAGUGCAACUUAAACACCAAGAUGAAUCGAUAUUGAAAAGCGGAAAUUCCUCAGAAAUUGGGAACUACGGUUACAACACAAAUCUCUGUAGCCAUUCUUUUUCUCCACACGGUUCUAACUUUGGAUAUCUGAAUGGUGGAAUGGGUAAUUCAAGUUCUACCCAUUACAAACAUAGCAGAAGUGUAUGCUGCAGCACACGAUCUUUCAACCCCCCUAUUCCUAAUCAUGAUUAUACUAGCUUUGCUCGUGAUUCAACAGCUCACUCUCCAGCGUGUCUUCCUCACUGGCUGUUAAAUGCAAUACAACAAAGGGAAAUGCAAGAGCCUUCUUGUCUUUGCAAUGAUGCUGCCGGUUUACAGGGACCAUGUACAAUUCCAGGAUCAAAAAUUUUUCCCCUCGCCCGUACAUUUCGUCCUUCCUUAAUAUCUUUUCCUAUUUUCAGUUUCAAUAUAUCCCCCGCGUACGGCAUACAUGCUCCAGCUCCGUUUGUCCACCCUUCGUGUGUACCUUUAGCUGAUACAUCCUGCAAGAUGAAAACAAGGGUUGGCACGCAAUACGUAAGUAGAAAAAGGCAUGCAGAGAUGGAUGAUAGAUUCACGAAAACGGUGAAAAAGCCUAACCUGAGUACAUGCGCAGAGUUAAACACGCCAAAAGAACAGGGAAGUGUAGGAGAGCUGGAUCCUUCUGCACAAAAUGUCACAGAAGUAUCGAACCACCAUGCGAACAAGCAGAACAAUUGGCAUUGACAGGUGUAUUUAUGUUUACGCCUAAUUUUGACAGUAGAUCAGGAAGAUGGAAUUUAGUUUUAGAAUGAACUCAUGAUCUGAGGUGGAUGUUUUCAAGAUGUUGUUAUUAUAUUUGUAAGCUGUAACACAUAUUUGACUUGACUGGAGUUCUGUUGUUGAAGCAUGCUCGUGAGUCGUAGUCAGAUGCAAACUGUUAAAGAAUUGUGGAAGGAGAUGAGGGAGCAUCCUCUCCUCUGUACACCUCAUGAAAUUAUGGCACAAGACAAGCAAAUUCUGGGGCCACUCUGACUUGCUUUCCUAGCUCUGCCCGUGGUGAGCUAAAUAUCCACCGCGAACAUGGUAAUCUUGUUUGGACUUCUUACGGUAGUUUUUGGAUUUUAGUUUUCUAUGUUUUAUAGUUGUUUUUCCACUGCCACUUACUGUUUUCUUUAAUCUUCUACUUCGUUCGGCUGUUUUUAUUCUCCACGCUUGAAACUGAUAUGACUCUUUUGUUCUUAUCGGUCUUUCCAAUUUGUUUGGAUCACGUUUUGUUAGUGAUGAAUCAGACUCUAAAAACUAGAGUCUGCUUUUCGGUCAGGGCGCCCAUUUUCGCUAGAAAGUUUCUUCUUCUUUUUUGUUUUUGUUUUUGUUUUUGUUUUGUUUAUAAACAGAUACGAAUUCUGCUUUGUAGGUACAAUAAGAUCUUAGUUUGCAAUUGUGUUUCUAAUGCAUUUCGUUUUCAUGCUUUAAUAAAAUGUCUACAAAAUUUAAAAGUAUUUUAAAUUCUAGGUACUCCAUAUUGUUACCAGAAAAAGAAACAACAAAGAAAAAGAAAAAAUGCUUACAACGACUGCAACAUCAAAGUAGUACUGAUGUUUGAAAAGCUGAGAUGGAAAGGCACCUCAAACGUGUUACAUCAUCAUCUAUUGCGAAAGCUACUGAAGCUGGUCUAUCACGUGAUGAGUGCAAUGUCUCUUCUACUUCUCAACCAGGUGUAGAAGGUGGUGAUAAACCUCUCACGUAGUGUGUCGAUCUGGCCCAAUUUGUUUUGUCAAAGCUCUCUUAUUCGCAAACUUUGAACACCCAAUAUAUAUUUAUACAUUAUUUUUUUAUAAAUUUGUUAUAUAGUAAUUUAUUAUUAUUAUUAUUGGGUACGUAGCAGUUCUAAAUUCUCCGUGUAUAUAUAUAUAUAUAUAUAUUUUUUUUGCUUUAACCGAAUGAAAUUUUUUUUUAUUUUUUCGUUUAAAUGGAACCAAAGCUAUUCUAAACCGGCUCAAAUCCUUCACAUAUUUUUUUUUUCUUUACUUGAACCGAAUUGAUUUUUUUUUUCUUUGUUUAAAUCAAAUUAAUUUUUUUGUACUUAAACCGAACCCGAUCACAACUUUACAUUGAACCAAACUAUUCUUCUUCCACUUUCUUUGAUUGUUAUCCUUCUUUAUUGGCCAAAUGAAUUUCACGCCUGCUUGUGGUUUCUUUUUUCGCUGUAUUCUUUUCCUUUGUUAUCGUUUUUAAUUUUUUAUUAUCUACGAAUUAUUGUACUAGUACUAUUCCGAGUGCUCACUGCGCCCAGAAGUGCUCCAAAGUCCAAACCAGCAAGUACUGAUAUAGUUAAAACAUAGAUAAAAUUUUAAGCGAGCAUUUUGUACUUUGUUCGUGCUGUUGAAAAAAUAUAUCCAAAUUAAACCACCGGUGUGCCGCGAGCGUAACGCGAGAGCAGAAGCUGCACAGUUGUUUUAUUUUGUUAAUUACGAUUACACAACAGCGGAUAGAGGUACAAACCGAAAACAACAAAACAUCUUAAAAAAAAAAAAAAAAAAGAGGAGGAAGGCGCAGCAGCGUCCAUUAACAGAAAUAGGUGUCAUCGUUAGUGAAACUUAGUAUCCAUUCCCCACCGGGAAGGCGUAGGGGUAAAAGCCGCCUCCGCUGCUUCCCCCGCCGUCCACCACCCCACCGUAAUCACCACCAUCGCCGCCGUACAAAAACCCCACCGGUUGAUCAACGGCGGAGAUCAGCUCAUCCUCGCCGCGGCGAUCGUAAAAGCCGCCGGCGGCCGCCCCCUCGGAAUCCAGCGGCCAGGAACAAAGCCCCGCAACCCCCGGGCGGGCCUCCCGAUCCGCCUCCAGCUCACGCAGCCGCCGCGCCCGCUUCUCCCCGCCGCCGCCGCCGCCGCACUCGGGGACGGCGGCGGUAGCAGUGGCAGGGGCUGCAGCAGGAGGAGGAGGAGGAGGAGGGGUGGGCCCGGGGCCGACGAUGAGGCGGGGGAGGAGCUGGGGGUCCCCGACGAGCUUGAAGAGGAACUCGAGCAUCUGGCGCGGGCGGCGCUCCGUCUCCUGCACCCGGCGCCACAUGCGCGCCACCCUCUCCUCGAUGGCCUUCUGCUCCUGCUUCAGCCUCACCACCUCCUCCGCCACCGCCGCCUCAUCGCCCUCCUCCAUCGUCGUCGUCAUCAUCAUCUUCUUCUUCUUCUUCCCGUUCACGCCCCAACCGGUGCUGGUAGUAGUCGACGACGACGACGACGACGACGAACAACAAGCCGACGAAGAAGAAUUAGAACCGCCGCCUCCGCCGCCGCCGCCGCUGUUCCGGCGCGCGAUCUGCCGCAGCAGGUGCGUCUGCCCCCGUAGGAACGACGCGUGCGCGAACUCCCACCGGUCCGGAUCCACCUUCCGAAAGCCCUGACCAUCACGAUCAUCAUCAUCAUCAGCCACCCCCCAUGCACACACAAAUAUAUGUAUAAUUACUACUACUACUACUACUAUUGUUGUUAUUAUUAUUAUUACAUUCAUCCGUCCGUCCGUUUGAUUUUAACUAGCUAGCUAGAAAUUGUAGCAUUAAUUUGUACGCGCUUAGCAUAUAAAUAAUAUAUAUAUACUGACGUACAUAGGUAUUGAGCUGGCGGACGAAGCUGGAGAAGUUGUUGUGCUUGAAGUGCGCCGGCAGCAGCGUCUGCGAGAAGACGAAGGGGUCGACGACGACGAAGCUGUUGUUCUCCUUCCCCCACGCGAUCACCGCGUCCGUGCUCGGCUCGUUCACCAUCCGGUACGUCUUCACCACGAACGGCGCCGCCGCCAAGGCUCCUCCCCCUCCCCCGCGGUAUCCCCUAAUCAUCAUCAUAUGAUCGUUGUUAUUCUUAUUCUUAUUCUUACUACCAUCCUCCUCCAUCAUCAUCGUCAUCAUCGAUAUCGUCGUGUCCCCUAAAUAUAUUUAUAUUUAUAUUUAUAGGUAAUAAGAAUAGUAUAGCAUACAGAGACUAAAAAUUUCGCUAGAUUUUCUUGUACUAAAUUGGGAAAGGAAAGUGGAGCAGAGUGGAUUGAAGAGGAAGGGUCGGGUGAUUAGUUUGUUCUAAAGAGGGGAGGGUUUUUGUAGCGGUCGAGCAGUGCGGCGAUCGAGGGGGCCAAAGCGAGGGGACAGGUGCCAAACACUUGCGGACGCGUGUCUCCCUCUCCGGACUCUUCCGCUUGCUCCCCAGCCAGCAAAAUAUUUUUUUUUUUUUCAAAAAAAAAAACACUAUUUUAUUUUAUUUUAUAUAAUAUAAUAUAAUAUAAUAUUUCUUCAAAAUUCACAAUCAAAUUUAACUUUUUCUGACUCUCCGCCUCUUCUUUUUUUUUUUUUCCUUUUUUUUUAUUUAACGGAGCUCUAGCUCCUACAGUGGUGAUUGGCUGUUCGCCGUGUCGAACACGUGGUCCUUCUCUACCAGCUCCAGCUAAACCAGCCGAAAUAUUAAAUAAAGUAGGAAAAAAGAAAACUUAUAUUAGUAUUAAAAUUAUCAACAACGUACAACAUAUUCUUUCGGCACUAAUAAAAAAAAAAUAUAUACUAUCUAUAUACGCCGACUAUAGAAGUGUAAAUUUUAUGCCUCUUUGAAUAUUAAUUUAUAAGAAAAUUAAUAAUAUAAGUAGAAAUGUGAACUUCGUCGAUCAGUAUAUAUACGCAUAAAUAAUAAAUAUAUAAUUAAAAAUCUUCUAUCAUAGAGAAUAUUUUUUCCCUUUAGAAAAAGAUAAGCAUUAUCCAUACAUUUUUUGCUAAAAUUUUUUUAAAAAAAAUGUUUGUGGACGUCCAAUAGAACGUCGACACGUCGGUGAACAGGAGUCCGUGGUUGCUUGGGACCGGAUAGGUGAUCGGGUCUGUGCAAAUCGUGGGCUCUCCAAAUCGAACCGUGGUAGAGCUAGGGUGUGGGUCGGGUUCGGAUAGGGUCCACAUUGUCACCGUCGUACGGUCAAAACGUGGCUACGCUACAUGGCGCGAUCCCAUUGGCCCACCUACCUCGCCGAGCCAAACAACGCUACGCGACAAAAAAAAAAAGCCGGGGCCCACCGCUCUGUAACGCGACCACGUUGCAGGGAGCCUAUGCAGGAACACGUGGACUUUAAAACUCGCACUAGUGGGUGUGAGCUAAGGAGCAAUCCUCCCCUGACACCUACAACGUUGGCAUAAAUUUUAACGUACUAAUGUUUGAAUGAAUUAAUUCGCGUUUAUUUAAUUAUCUUAUUAAUUUUCUUAACAUUAAAAAAUUAAUAAUCUUCUAAACAUUUUGGAUUCUUGAAUUAUGAGAUGUAAUAUAUGCACCCUUACAAUAAAAUAUGCAUGUAACAUUUUUCAAAAAUUGUUAAAUAAAUAAAGCGAAUAAGGUGCUAUCUUUUUUUUAAAAAAAAAAUUAAUUUCUCCUAUCCUAAUGUAACAUAUAUGUUACGUAAGAUUUAUCCAAAUCAAUUUUUUUAUACCGUAUAAAAUAAUAAAGAGCCUAACAAAAAAUAGUAUGAUAAUUUAUAAUAAAUUAAUGCUCUUUAAAAAUAAUUUAUUAUAUUUAUGCGUAAUGUAAAAGUAAUUUUAUGUGAAAUAAUUGUAACAGAAAAAGACUUUCCCGUACGUGUUUGUCGUGUUUUGGGUUAACGUGGCUGGGCGACAUUUACUGAUUCAAAAAUGCAGUGAGGUCUUUUCGUUAGCGUGUUGUACGCGCGUGCCCCGCACGUGCCAUUUCGGCUAAGGAUUUGUUUAGCGUUGAGAUUAAUUUUUCACCCUUGGUGGAUAAAAUGAUAUUUGAUCAGAAACAUGUAUUGCUACGCUUCUCCGUUCUAUAGACUAUAUACGCGCCAUCUCUACCUAGGCUAGAACUGACAUCUAUGUGAUAUAUUGAAUAAAAUGAAAGUUAGAAUAAAAAUAUGUAUACGUAUUGCUAUACUUUUCAGUUCUUUGAUAGAAUUAUCCAAAUUAUAUAGUAAGAACUUACGUACUCUUUGAACGACGAGACACUAUAUCUUAAAUUCUUAAUAAAGAAUAAAUGAGUAUUCUUUUUUUUUUUAAUCGUACUUUGACUUAUGUAUGCAGCUUCAAUAAGUGACUUUGACAAACAUGAUCAUUUUUUUUUUAGAGAUAGGUAGCAUAUUACUAGUUUCGUUUAUUUUAUUUAGAAAUAAAUUUAGUUGAAACUAUAAAUCAAUUAGGAUUGAAACUCAGGACCUCGAAUACUAAAUACUAAAUUCUCAUGUUAAUAAAGAAACAAAUAUGAUCUAUUAAUAAUAGCCCAGAAAACCAAAAGAGAGAGAGAGAGAGAGAGAGAGAGAGAGAGAGAGAUGUAUGUGUUGUUGCGGUGUCAUGUUCCAAGUGUUAAUAUGAGGAGCUCCGCAUGGAAAGUUUUGAAUGCAUUGGGGGGUCAACAUGCAGGAAAUAAGAGGAGCACGAACGCAGCGAUUUGGUUGGCAGCACGUGCAGCGAAGAUCGAUGCUUGGCGGUCUGUGAGGAGGGCACCUGGCAGGGCGGUGGGGCCCACGAGAUGAGUUGGCAGCUGCUGUACGGUGGGGAUUUAUUUAAUGAUGAAGCAGCAUCGCUCUUCAUCGUCGUGGAUCUGGUGAUCGAGUUUUAAUUGAUUUUAUUUUAUUAAUCAUCAAGCCUCUUAAUGAUGAUGAUGAUGAUGCACACAAAAAAAAAAUAUGUAUAUUUUUUAUCUUAUAAUUAAUAAUUAAUUAAUUAAAGUGGGGUGUGGUAGUAGCGUAGUUGGAUGGAUGGGACGUGGUUUGUUUCUUCCGAAACGGUCGGAGCCGUUUUCUAUUUUUAUUUCAUAAUAAUAAGGUGGAGGAUUAGUUAGCUGAUGGCGCUUGCAUGAUUUUGAGGGUUUUUUUUUUUUUUCUUUAGUUAACGUAAUUGUGCGAAUUAAUAAUAACAUCACAUCACAUAAGAAGUAGUAUUGCUACGUGUAUCGAAGAACAUCACUCGAAAUUCUACAGAUAAGUUAUCUGAGCAAACAUUUCUGCGUAUUUGGUUAGUAAACUACGGUCUAAUUUAAACUACUAAUAUAAAAAGUAUUUGUUAACCCAUCAACAGUGCUUAGAAACAUCUUAGAUCAUUUUACCAUAUCAUUUUUGAGCCAGACCAGUUUUAAGCACACGUUUGGCUCGCAAACUAGCCAAAAAGCUCAAUUACAAGUUAUUAUAGUAAUUAAAAAAAAAAAUCUUAUGGCAAUUUGCCAACUAUAGUAGAGCUAAACUAAACACCCAACACCUGAGUAGCACGUGUAAAUAAUUUGGAUAUGAGAUAAGAUUAGCAAGUAUAUAUUACCAUCAAAAUUAAUGACAAUCAUCACAGAAACGAGCCCACACGGCUUACUGCCUUGACCAUAUGCGAGGCUAAAUGAAAUCACAGUUCCCUUCCUUCGUAGCCUGAUAAAGAUCUAAGUAGAAUAAGAUAAGAGAGCGGUGUUGAGAUAGAAUAAGACUGUGGUGGCCCAGAAAGCUUAGAUAGUAGGUCGGGAUUGGAGACAGCGGGAUAGAAAUGGAUUCGCUAAUCUGUCCCAAUCUCAUGGGUGGGAUUUAUUUUUUUGAGAGAGAGAUAGGUAGCAUGCUAUCCGUUUCGUUUAUUUCAUUUAAAAAUAAACUUAGCUGAAAAUGUGAAUCAACUAGAAUUCGAACUUGGGUCUCGAAUACCAACCACCAAAUCCUUAAUUUGCCACUUGCUUUAGAAACGAUCGGUACAGGUGGGAUUUAUUAAAAUCCCAUUCCAGAGGAUUAUUUGAAUCGAUUAGAUUCCUUUUGCAACCCACAUGCUCCCAAUCAAUAAGCCCUAAAAUGUACUUGCUUAGAUGUUGGUCCACAGAAUUAUGCGUUGAUGCAAGUCCUGUAUGUCGAACAGAAGAGCAUAUAUAUAUAUAUAUAUAUAUAUAUAUAUAUAUAUAUAUAUAUAUAUAUAUAUAUAUAUAUAUAUAUAUAUAUGCAACGCUGAUACUUUAAUUGUCAUUAGAAUGUGUGUUUUCACCUUUAAUUGCAGAUGCGUUAAUUGUCAUUAAUUAGAAUGUCUGUUCUGACCUUUAAUAGCAGAUAUCGUGUCUACCGACAAUCAUAAGAAAAUAGUAUCAGGUACCAGGGAGGAAAACUCAGAAAACCACAUGGUGAGAUAGUGCACUUCCUUUGCCACCUUAUAACUCUUUUAAAGAUAACAUGCAACCAUUUAAUGGUUGCUGUUCCAGAUUCACACAAGGACCUCUCAUUAAACAGCCAUUCUUCACAAUCUGUGUACAUGAUAUUCACAUGAAUCGCAUCGAAUAAGAAUUACAAUAAACAUGAAUUCAAUAGGAUACAAAUUGAUUUCAAAUGGGCAAGGCAUUAGGUCGUAGGAGAACUGUAUGUGCGCUAUUGCACUAUAAACCCAAUAGAUAAUACAAGAAGAACGCUAAAGAAACGAAAACAGGUAACAACUUGGGGCAAUUAUCAUCACAGCAUGACAAAUUGCCCUAGCUGAGAACUACCAAUUGAAUAUAAUAUGAUGAAUAUCCUACUAUAUAAUGCCGACACUGCCUUCAAUGCAUAGAAUUAAGGUUCUAUUAGCUAAUGACAAACAAAAAAAUUUAGCAACAUCGAACGUAAGGAAUAUUACUUACCUCAGUUACCUAACCUGGCGGGGACCUUCCUGUUGGGCUCAAAGACAUACUUGAUCAGUGAAUCUUUGAUAGAUAGCAACUCAGGGAACUCAUUCUUUAGCUUGGAAGCAUCCAUCUCAUUGUUGCUUCGAGGAGCGACGAUUACUCUAGCCUGUUCUUCGAGGGUGAAAUUGGCCCACUUGAAGUUGGGAUCCAUGUAGCUUUUGUACAUCUCCAAGAUCUCAUUGUGACUGAUGACGCCGGGAUUCGUGAAGUUCCAUAUGCCCCUACAGUUCCUUUUUGCCAUCUCAACUGAUAUUGGCAGAAGCUCAUCCAAGACAGUCAUACUGUUCGGAAUGUUCACCACUUUGUCAUAUCGCGCGAUCUUUGUAAUGAAAUUACGAGGAUUGCUGAGGUCAGAAGAUAUGGGCAUUCGAACUCGCAGUGUACAGACAUUAUCAAACUCUUUCAAAAGCUCUUCAACCUGCAUCAUCCAACAAAAGAACCGUAAGAAACAGUUUACUAAACAUGCAACAUAUCAAAGACGUAACAGACCUACAAUUCAUGUAAUAAGGUGUUUACCAUAGCCUUGGUCUUCGAAUAGAAUGAUCCGGUAAAGUUUGGCUUGUCUUCCUCCUUGAAGCCAAUACCUGACCCUUGCGGAUGAGCAUCAUCAUAUUCAAAUAUACAUCCAGUUGCAUAAUUCAUCAUUAACAGCCCAUGUUCCCUGCAGACAUCAGCAAGAGUCAAAGUGCCCACAACAUUGGUUCGAAUCGUCUCAGGCUUGUGUGAUUCGCACCAAUCAACAUUAGGUCUACCGGUCACACCAGCUGCAUUAAAUACAUGUGUUGGUUUAACAUUCUGAAUGUCUAAUAUCAGCUGAGAACGCUCUUCAAGCCGACCCCUGCCAUAUUCGAAGGGUAUGCCUUGCUUCUCACAUAUCUUCCCAAGAAGCCCACCGAUCCAUCCUGUCCGACCAUAAAUCAGGAACUUAAUAGACAGCUUUUGAGAACUGUUUUUUGAAGUGGGGACCACCAUUUUCAUUUGAGUAUUUGUGAACUGAUAGACCAUUCCUUUGGUCUCUUCACAACCCUCAAACUGCCCAGGCAUCAUAAACAUCCUUGGAUGAGGCAAUAGGGCGCCAGAAACAUCGCCCCACCAAUUGGGAUUACUUGUAUACCAUUCCUUAGUCUUUCUUAACCCUUCCUCCCAAGUUGUUCUCUCAGACCACCCAAUGUUCUUCAGCUUCUGGUCAUCCAAAAAGUACCUUUGAUCAUUAAAUGGCCGAUUAUCAACAAACUUAAUAACGUUAUCAGGGUCCAGAGAGAAAAGCUUGCAAAUAUCUUUUGCCACAUCUAUCACUCUCCUUUCUUUCUUCGUCCCAAUGUUGUAAACAUGUCCAACCUCUCCUCUGUGAAGAACAACCUCAAAUGCCUCAGCAACAUCCUCACAAUAUAAGUAGCUCCUUACAUUAGAUCCGUCUCCAUGAAUUGGAAGAGGUAGACCCUUCAUAGCCAAGAGAAUAAACUUUGGGAUAAGCUUCUCAGGGAACUGGUUCGGUCCAUAUACAUUGUUUCCUCGAGUAGUUAUGACGGGUAGGUCAUAUGACCUCCCAUAUGCCAUUACAAGCAUCUCUGCUCCGGCUUUUGUAGCAGAAUAUGGGUUUGUAGGAAGAAGCUGUGAUGCCUCGUGAUUCCCAACCACAGCAUCCUCAUCGGUCUCUCCAUAGACCUCAUCAGUACUAACAUGAAUGAACCGUCGAAUUUGGCCGGUGACCUUGCAGGCCUCAAGGAGGACGUGGGUCCCGUAAAUAUUAUUUUUGGUGAAUUCAAAUGAGUUGCCAAAGGAGUUGUCGACGUGGGUCUGGGCCGCGAAGUGCAUGAUGGUAUCAAUGGACUCUGUGAUGAGAAGGAAGUUGACAAGGUCAGCACUCGCGAUAUCUCCUUUGACGAAUUUGAAGUUGGGGGAUGAGCGAGAAGGGAGGAGAUUCUUGAGAUUCGAGCAGUAGUCAAGCUUGUCAAGAACCACGAUCUUGUAAUCGGGGUAGUUACGGAGAAGGCGGUUGGCGACAUGGGAGGCAAUAAAGCCAGCCGCCCCUGUUAUCAGGAUGUUCUUAGGACUAUAUGUCGUCAUUCUCGUUUAAAUUUCACAAAAUCUGUAAUGCAGAAACCAUAUAUUAAAUUUUUUCAUGAUCUAAUUUGUAAUCCAAAAAAAUUCAUAAAAUUAAUACAAACUAGCAAGUCAUUUGCAGUGAAAAUGACUAUUUUUUACAAAUUCAAUGAAAAGAGAUUGGAGUACAAGUGAUCUGCAGUAAAACAAGAAAUAUCUACAGCAAGUCAUUUGCAGCAAAUAACUAGUUCUUGUUAAAAAAUUUGACGAAAAUAAAUACAGAUGACAAGCAAUUUGCAGCAAAAAUGGUAUUAUCUAGGUCAGAAGUAAAACAUGUAAUCUCUAAGGUGAGUCAUUUGCAGCACAUACAAGUUCGUGAUUUGCAGCAAAACAUGUAACAUCUAGGUUAAACCCUUGCCAAAAAAAAAAGAAAUAAUUUUUUUAACAAGUUUAAUGAAAGGAGAUUAGAAAACAAUUGAUUUGCAGAAAAACUCUAGGUUACGUUUUCUUGACUUAUUGGUUAUACGAAUUUGAGCCAGAUCACAUCUGACCGGACAGAUUCUACGGUCAAAAAAGUAGAAUGUACUCAGAAUGCAGUUGGAGUUUUUCAUAUGAGAUGUGGACAUUCGCAAAACCCACCAGCAGGCAAUAGUCUUUUAAACAUUCAUCAGAUCAGCACGAGUGAAUAAAUAAUUGACUAGAUCAUUUCGUACUCAUAAUUUAGAUCUAAUUAGUUAGUAGCUGAGGCAAACAUCAUUCCUUCCAUCUGUAAGGAAACAAUAAUCCUGACCUGGAAGCAGUGGUGGGUAAAGAACAAUAUUAAAUAUUAAAUAAAGAAUAAAGAUUAAACAACAACAAUGCACAUAUCUUAGUUGGAUCCCCAAGAUCCUAUUUUGAUAAUAUGUUUUUAGAAUACCCCAGAUCAGUUAUGAGCUUUGUCAGAAAACAAACACGCUACUUCAAAGCAUACUAAUCCAAAUGCAAAUACCAAUUUUUCAUAAGCUUAAAAGGGAGAAAUGUUACAAAAUCAAGUGCACAGGUCAAAUUAAUAAAGAAUCAAAUUCUGGUUCGACAAUGACAUAUGCAUAAACACAAAAUCAGAAGCUCCCAUAAUAACCGAGAUAAGGUACCAAAAUGCAGAGCAACCCAAAUUGGAUGAAUCCUUUCGAAAAUGCAAUCAAAAUACAUCGAAAGUUUCGAAGAACAGUAUUUAAAGAAAAAAAAAUCCAAAGAAAAUGGUAGAGAUAUCAGACAAAGAACCCAAAAAACACCUAAUUUGGCACUAGGAAAAGAUGAGUUGUAUGGAGACCCCCUCAAUUACAGGCCAUUUUGUAUUGGCCCCCAAACUUUGCUGUUAUUGACACCCAUAAAUUCCUAAAUUGAUUUGAAGAUUCACUGAAAUUAAUAGUUAAUUAGCUACCAACAAUUCACAGUUAUUAAAAUGCACGGUUCCAUCAAUGAUACAAAUAUUCAGAACAACUAAUUUCAACAAAAAUAUGUUGAAUUUAAUAAAUUUUCUAAUUUAAUUGACGAGAAUAACUUACAUUCCACAAAACCAAAACUUGAGAGGUGGCAAUCAAAAUAAAUAAUAAUAAUAAUAAUAAGUUGAGGUGUCCGUUUCAAAAUGUCCUACAACAGAGGGGUUAUCCCUGCAUCUUAACCAAAUUAAAGAGACAAAACUACUCAACAAAUCGAGAAAUUUUAUCCACCGAAUCAAAAGCUACAUGAUUCGACUAAGACUAGGGUACAAAAAUCCCAGAUCAGAUCCCAAAUCACAACCAAAUUGCAAGCGAAUUAAACGCUAAAUCGAGAUCGGAGAGAGAGCCAGAGGGAGAUUCGAUUCGAUUCUUACGAAUUUGGGUCCCCGAUCGCGGAGACGAGUGGCGAUAUCGUCGUCGUUUUUAGGGCAAAGAGGAGAGGGGAGGGAACGAAGUGUGUGUGUGUGUGUCUAUAUAUAUAUAUAUAUAUAUAAUUUGUGAGCGAAGGAGCGAGCGCUCGGGAGAGGAGAGGAGAGGAGAGGAAGGGGUUGUUAGCAAAAGACGAGAGGGAGAGAGAUGGAGAGAGAAAGCGAGGUGGAAUUAAAUAGUCGAAAAAGACGCAAAACUUCCCUGGACCGACCUCAGCACAUCAGAAAUUGUUUCCUGUACCGUACACCUCGUGCACCACAUUUUAUUUGAACAUUUUGUACACCCGUUAUUUGAUCUCUAUCAGUAAUAUAUGCUAUAUUUGGCAGCUUUUGUAUUUGAAUAUUAGUAUAUCACUUUGAUUGUGUGCAGAAGAUAGGUUUUGAUUACUUGCAUAUAGUAUUAAUGUUUAUAGGUUUUGAUGUAUUUAUUUUUGUAAAUAAUCAAUAUUUAAAAAUCAGGUUUUGACGAGGGGCAAAGUGUAGAUUUUUAAAUGACAGAAAAAAAAGUGAAAAAUCAGAUUUUAACAGAAAAAUUUUCUGUAAUUUAGCCUUUUUUUUUGUAGGAAUUUUAGAUGAUAGUUUAAAAGAACCUUCGCUUGUACCUGGUACAGUUAUCACAUUUAGAUCGCCUAAUCAUUUUUUUUACCUAAAGUGAAAAUUUUGAAAAUGUUAGAAUAACAGGAACAAUAGUAAUUUGCAAAAUGAUGGACUCGAGCGGUAGAUAAUUGAAUGGUUCAUGAUCAACGUGGUGAACCAAGUCCAAGUAGUAACUUCUCCGGGAUUCGGUGGCACAAUGCAUGGUGGAGGUAUGUUGACGACUCAGGAGGCCAGAGACUUGUCAACUACCUCGUGCACGCUUUAUUGUACCAACAAAAGGAGAACCCUUUAUUUAUUAAGGCAAGUACGUGCUAGGUCCACAAUACAUUUCAGAUUAUAAAAAAUAAUUUUAUUUUAUUUUUAUUUAGAUACAUAUGUAUUUAUUUUAGCAAACAAAAGUGCUUUAGAAUUAGUAAAUUUUAAAAUUUGAAAGUAGAUAAAAUUUAAUUUUUUAGGAGAGAAAGAUAGUAUACUAUUUAGUUUAUUUAUUUUUUAAAAAUAAAUUUAAUUAAAAAUAUAAAAUAAUUAAAUUUGAAAUUUAAGAUUUCGGAUACUGAUCAUCAAGUUCGUAAUUAGGCAACUGCGUUAGAUACGAUCGAUAAUGAUUUUAUUGAUUGCUAAAGUUGUAAAUAAUAAUAGUUUUGUUUUGUGCUUUUUUUUUUUUUGUAAAAGGAAAAUCCAUUGCUUUUAAUAUGAUGAUUUCUUAUAAGUUCAUUUUACCUCGCAUUUUGUUCAGUGAAUUGCGUCAUUAAUUCUUCUCGUUGAUUAUAUCAAUUGUCUAAUUAAANAGUCUCAAACAAUAUAAUUUCAAUUUUAUAUGUAUAAUUUAGUCUCAAAAUAUUUUAAAUAGUAUAAUUUAGUCUAAAUAAUACAACUUCGUCUCAAACAAUACGACUUUUUCUUUUUCUUUCUUCUUUGCUUUUGCUUUUUGAUUCUUUCUGUAGCAAUCAUGGUAUAGGAUGACCUUCUCAGAGAAAAGAAAUAUUUUUUUCUUUCUUUUCUACCCUUUGUGUUCUUUUUUACUAACGCGCUUCCUCCCUCGCCCUUUGCGGCAACAGCCUCCUCCCGGCUCAAUGUAUUUCUCUAUAUUCUCCUUAAAUACUGCAAGACUUUCGCGGCCAUUGCUGUUCAUGAUCAUGUUCUCCUCUGUAGCCUCACCUUCGUGAUUUAUACAAUAUCUGAACUCGCGCCACUGUCGCCGAUGUCAAUGGAGGUGUGGGCAAGGUAGGAAAGAGGAGCACGACGCAGAUACAAGGAUGGUGGAUGAGAAUGGGGAAGGAAAUGAAGCGAGAGAAGAAAGAGAGAAAGGGAAGGCGAGGAGAAGAGAGACGAAGAGGGAAAAAAAAAAUAUAAGGGUAAACUUCAAAUACCGUCCCUGUGGUUUCGCACUUUCUCACUUUAGUACUUAUAAUUUAAAAUGUACCAAUUUAGUACCCUGUAAUUUUAUUUUUCUUUUUUUGUCAGCCCCCUCAUUAACUUUUCAUUAAAUCAUAUAUUAAAACCUUCAGAUACCCCACCUAUAGUUUAUCGAAUAUUCACUUUAGUACUCUUUAAUUUUAGCUUUGUCGCUGAUUUAAUAAAAAAAUUAGUUAAAAGAAUAACAAAAAGAGAACAAUAAAAUCACAGAGUACAAAAGUGAGAAAGUACAAAACCUCAGGGGUGACAUUUGAAGUUUUCUCAAAANUUUUUUAUAAAAUUAUAAUAUUAUUAAUAUUUUAUAAAUUAUAAAUUAAUAAUUUUUAAUAAUAUUAUAUAUAUAAUUAAAAAAAAUUAAUUAUAAAAAUUAAAAAUAUUAAUUACAAUUCAAAAGUUUCAAAUACAUUAAAAAUAAGAGUACUAACUUAUUUGUAUUUUGAAUUUUUUUUUGUAAAUACAUUAUUUUUUAGGAAUAUUUUGUAAAAUAUAAAUAUUUUUCGGGACGAAUUCGUGGCGGAUCAUGGCAGGGCGGAUUCGGAACGGGUCAAAAUUUCUCCCAUUUUCUGCCCCGAAUCCGUCCGGAUCGUAAAGUUUACUCCGUUUCUCGCCCCGAAUCCGUUUAUUUUCUCCCAUUUACUGCCCCCGUCGGGACGGAUCGGGGCGGGAGCUCCACCAACCCGGAUCCGUUUGCAUCCCCAUAAACACCUAAGAUGUUCUAAAUGUACCAGAAAUGAGCAUUAGACGUUCAAAGCGUCACUCACUCUAGUUUGAAGGGUGGGUUAAUAGAUAGCGCAACUCGUGAUAUACGUAGAUCACAAGCUCAAAGAUUUUGCGAAUAGUUUAUUCCCGAACCAAACAUACGAAUCAUGGUGAUAUUGUAGCUAAGUACAGUAGGCCAUCCCCCAUUCCCCCUAGCCAUGUAUAUACAUUGAAAGCAAUUGCUGGCACCAAACGUACUAGCCAGCGCAGUUGGCUGAGUAGCUGAUAUUAGUACUCAAUCUAGUAAUUAAGUUUGAAAUUUAAUUAUUUUAUAUUUGUAACUAGAUUUAUUUUUUUUUUAAAAAAAAACAGUAUGCUACCCUUGUCUCUUUCUCUCUAAAAAAAAAAAAAAAAUUUGUGACACAUAAAGAUAUCUUGAUGGGUUAGAAAAAAGACUUAAGUUGUAUUAUUUGAGUCUCAAACAAUAUAAUUUCAAUUUUAUAUGUAUAAUUUAGUCUCAAAUAAUUUUAAAUAGUAUAAUUUAGUCUAAAUAAUACAACUUCAUCUCAAACAAUACAAUACGACUUUUUCUUUUUCUUUCUUCUUUGCUUUUUGAUUCUUUCUGUAGCAAUCACGGUAUAGGAUGAUCUUCUCAGAGAAAAGAAAUAUUUUUUUCUUUCUUUUCUACCUUUUGUGUUCUUUUUUGUUAACGCGCUUCCUCCCUCGCCCUUUGCCGCAACAGCCUCCUCCCGGCUCAAUGUAUUUUCUCUCUAUGUUCUCCUUAAAUACUGCAAGACUUUCACGGCCAUUGCUGUCCAUGAUCAUGCUCUCUACUGUAGCUUCACCUUCGUGAUCUAUACUAUAUCUUAACUCGCGCCACUGUCGCCGAUGUCAAUGGAGGUGUGGGCAAGGUAGGAAAGAGGAGCAUGACGCAGAUACAAGGAUGGUGGAUGAGAAAGGGGAAGGAAAUGAAGCGAGAGAAGAAAGAGAGAAAGGGAAGGCGAGGAGAAGAGAGAUGAAGAGGGAAAAAAAAAAAAAGGGUAAACUUCAAAUACCAUCCCUGUGGUUUCGCACGUUCUCACUUUAGUACUUAUGAUUUUAAAUGUAUCAAUUUAAUACCCUGUAAUUUUAUUUUUCUUUUUUUGUCAGCCCCUUCGUUAACUUUUCAUUAAAUCAUAUAUUAAAACCUUCAGAUAUCCCACCUAUAGUUUAUCGAAUAUUCACUUUAGUACCCUUUAAUUUUAACUUUGUCAUUGAUUUAAUAAAAAAAUUAGUAAAAAGAAUAACAAAACGAGAAAAAUAAAAUUACAGAGUACAAAAGUGAAAAGCUUUAAACCACAGGUACUAAAGUGAGAAAGUACAAAACCUCAGAAGUGAUAUUUGAAGUUUUCUCAAAAAACAAACAAGAGAAAAAAAAAAAACGAAAAAUAUUUUAUUCAGUUUUCCGAAAAUCCAAAUAUAAACUGCAAAAUGAUAAUUUUUUUAAAAAAAUACAAAAAGGAGUGAAUUUUUUAUGCAAGUUGACCGUAUUUAAUGGUUAUUAUUAUUUCUACAUAAAAUAGUUAUUACACAUAUAACUUUCUCUAGAUAUGAGUUGGCCGGUGCAUUUUCAGUGAUCCGGUCCACGGAUUACGUCGUAAACGAGAUCCAAUCAAUUAUUUAUCUAGUUAAUGGGCCGAGUUUGUCCAUCUUUCUUUAGAUACGCCUAACAUGGACCAAUUCUUAUGUAGGCCAAACCCAGAAAAUAACAGUGGAAAUCCAAAUUCGGCCCAUCAUCGGCCCAGUAACAAGAGUAAACAAAUCCCCGCAUAAUUGUUCACUACACGUAGAGUAUGUUUCGCUCUCCAUUUCGUCUUCGACUCUACUGGGUCAACUCAUUCAUCGAGCUCCAUCAACUCGUAAGAAUUUUUCCUUUUCUUCUCUCAAAUUCACAAAUUAUGUAGCGAAAGUCACAAAUUUGUUCUAUUGUUCCUCAAAUUUUUAAAUUUAUUGCGCCAAAUCCCUCAAAUUUUUUUACAAAUUUCUCAAUAAUGUGGAUUGGUGUGCCCAAAUCGAGCAACACCUACUAUACCUCACAAAAAUGGCGAGGAAUUGCCCUCACAACGUGUGCUUUGAUCCUCAUCGCAACCCUAAUCCUAUUCAAAGCAAAGCCCACUUCCCCAUCUGAUCCCGAAGCCCUAAAAGGAACCGCCUUUUUCCCCAGUUCCAUCCAGUUCCACCCUUCUUUUGAGUUCAUGAAUGGCACUGAAGUGAUUUGGCAAAUCCCCAAUUCACCAAAAGCAGCUCUUUUUAUAGCCCCUGGUUGCACUAUUCGAGCCUCCAAUUUCUGGGACAAGUCCACAUUUUGCCCUAAUUGCGACGGAUUGCCAGAAGAAAGGGCUUUUGUUCUCCAAGCCCUCGAAAGAGAAUUCGCAGUUUUGACAAUUUCUAGUCUUGAGGAAUGUUGGUCUUUUGGUAAGGAGUUGGAGAAUGUGGAAUGGAUCAUCAAAUGGUGGGUUCGAGAGAAUAAGCUCGAGGGGCUUCCGAUGACGGCUUUAGGGGCUUCUUCUGGCGGCUAUUUUGUUUCGGCACUCGCAUUCAAAAUGAGGUUUGGUAGCAUCACAAUUAUGAUUGCAGAAGGGGUGUUUGUAAAUAUAGCUAUUGGAAAUGACUAUCCGCCGACUCUUUUUGUUCAUAUGCCGAAAGAUCGAAUUAGAAUGAGUAAUAUAUUACGAAACAUGGAAGAUUUCAAGGCGAAGGGUGUUGAUGUUAAGGAAGUGCGAUGUAUGGAUUUCCCUUUGAUACCGAAUGUAUUAUCAGAUAGAAUUCCGGGUGUGAAUCGAAGUUUUGCGGUUAAAAUAGUUGAGGUUUUCCACGAGAAGGGUUUUGUGGAUGAGAAGGGAUACAUGAAAAUGGACGGGAGGGCGAGUCCCUGGAAGGAAGCUCUGAAGGAAAAGAAUCUUUUGUCCGAGAGUGAUGAAUGGAUUAAACACGUGGAAGAAGAGUUAAAUCUUGCAUAUGGUUACCAUGAAUUUUGCAGCUUAAAGUCUGAGGAUAUUUUUGAGUGGUUUGAUUCCCACAUGAAGUGAAAGUGAUGAGAUCCUUGAGUGCAGAAUAUCCAGCAAACAUAUUUGUUUCAAUUUUCUGGCGACAUGGUGUUGGAAGAAAAAUAAUCUCUCUAGGGAGUAGCUAGCUUUCAUAUUUACAAAAUUCGACUGUUGGAUAACCUUUGAGGAAAAUGAUGCAGGGCAACGCAUGGAGUGUUCGAACACUUUGCCUAAGCGUCCCAAGUUUUUACUAUACUUCCAUUUGAUAAUAGCUGCUCUUGCUAAUACAUCACCACACAUUAUGCAACUAUAGAGUUUCUGAUACUCAGGUGAGUCUUUGUAUUUGUUGGUUUGUUAUCCUAUGGUUCUAACCAUGAGAAAUGUUGUAGCGUUCAAUUGAUCUUGUUGGUUAGAAAAUGCGGGCAACUUGUAGUGUACUUCAAUGUUUUACUCAAAUAGUAUUUAGUUUCCUCUGGAGAUAUAUGUCAUAAUUCGAUCUUGCUACUCAAUAUACAAUAAAUGCUUUUUUACGAGACCAGUAACUUGGUGUGUAUGCUUUUUUAGUCGUUGGAUAUUUCUGUGUAACUCAAUAUACAAUAAAUACUUUUUUACGAGACUAGUAACUUGGUAUUUAUGUAUUAUUGCAAGAGGACCAUAAAGUGUGUGGCAGUAUACUAUGACCAAAGAUACAUGAUUCAAGGGCUCUUUUAUUAUUAUCUUAAAUGAACUUAUUUGGAUGCUUUUGUUCUUGUGGUUGUUUUGAUUGAACGGUGCCUUAUGUUUGAAACAAAGAAAGUUAGACUUGUAUAGAAGAUUGAGAAUUAGCAGCAAGGAAUCUUUUAUUUGCCUUGUAGGUUGACAAGUUAUGUAUAAGCAUUUGUCAUGUAUAGAUUCAAACAGAAAGAGACACCAAAGUGUGCCAAUGAAAAUAAAUGAUCUUGUUAAUAUUAUUUAUCAUUGAUAUGUUAAUAUUGAACUUUUGAUUUUUGCCAACAUAAAAUAUGUCAGUUUGAUAUGGAUCCAGUGAUCUGCUGUUGUAGAUCAUGAUUGAAGUAAUUAACCUGGAUUAUUUUCUUCUUGGCUUACAAUUUCACAUGUUUUAAAAUGCUUAUUUGUUUUAAGGAGUUUAAGAAUUUUUGUGACUUCGUAGCCCAACUGAACCAGAGUAGUUCCGAAAAAGAAAUAGUUUCCUUUGAUUUGGUAACUUAUUUGUCAUUUGAAGUUCGCACUUACAGUUAGAAUACUUUUACAGCUCAAAUGCAAUUUGGCAUGAAUGUUAUGCACUGCAACACUUUAAAAUUAGAAUGAUAAAGGGAACUUAUCCCUGUACUGGCAGUGUUCUAUAAGUCUUUGUAAUUGUCUAGAAAAGGCCAAUAAUGAGUGUGUGGUGAAUACAAACUCAUGAUUUCUAAAUAUGUAUUCAUGCCUAUGAAAAUUUUGAAAAAAUCAAUAUGAUUUCGUUAUCAUAUAUGUAAUUGUCUAUAGCCCGCCGCAGAGAGUUCCUCAAUGUGUUAAGAUAUGGCUCUCAAUUGCUUGCCUUAGUCAUUUGCCUUGUUGUGCUAAUAUUCAUUGAAGUGCAUGUUUCAUAUGAUUUGAACAGCUUCUCUGCUCUGAAAAGCAAUAGUCACAUACGUAUUGUGGCAAAAUUAAAAACUAUAGUGCUUUUUCUACGGCGGGAAGCUGUAAUGCAAGUUUGAAUUUAGACUUCACUCGGUAUUGUAGAAGCUUAUUAGGGAGAUUCUACUGGAAAAAGCUGGUAUACACCAAGUGACAGAUGCAAAUGGACACUCGAAAUUCUCACCAUGGAACAUGUGUUUGAAUCAUGCAUCUCUGUGCCCUACAUGCAUCAGAUAAUUCGGAGCACCUGUUUCGUACAGCGGGACCUAUGAAAGAGGGUAAGGUUUUAAUGACCCGAAACGCCAAUUCAAUACCCCGAAUUCCGAGGAAAAAAAAAAGAAAAUCUUAUAAGGCCUCACAAGUCACAAAUGGUUGCAUUUGUUUUUAUUUCUUUGGUGCAUUAUUUUUGACAUGAGCAAGUAGCUUCUUCUUAUUCUUAUUUCCGUGGACGAAGACUCUACUACAGCUUAUAGAUCGAUGAUGUUACAAGGAAUUUGAUGUUCUAGUAUUUUUAAUGUUUAAUUUUUAUUAAAUUAUUUUUAAAAUUUAAAAUUUAAUAAAAAUUAGCUAUGACUUGCAUGCGGUUCGCAUCGGAAAUAUUGCAUGUUGCAUGCGGUUCGCACCGGAGUUUCCGACUCGGGCUGGUGCCGCGCGCGAGGCGGAGUACACCAAGUUACCGUUAGCUCCGCAGAAUCGUGUCACGUGUCCUCCACCCAUUCCAUGCAGGCUCUACUACUACUGUUGAUGUUUUACGAAACCGUAGAAAUUGUUGGCCAUUCCCCAUUUACCACCCCCGAGGCUCAGCUUUUGAACCUACCACCCUCUCCAUUAUUUAUACCCCCACCCCCUUCACCACAGCUUUAUAAUUUUUAUUUAUAACUCUCUCUCUCUCUCUCUCUCUCUCUCUCUCUCUCUUGUUUGCUUGUUUUUGUUUUAUUGUGGGGGUGGAGAUGAGGACUCAUGAUUGUAGAAACGCUGCAGCUAUUUUGAUCCUUGUAGUUGUUGUGGGUAUGGUGAGCAUCUGUGGAGCAUAUGAAUUCUUUGUUGGUGGGAGAGAUGGUUGGGUGCCUGACCCUUCCGAAGCCUACAAUCACUGGGCCGAGAGAAACAGGUUUCUAGUCAACGACAGGCUCAGUAUGUUCAACUCAAUCUCUCUCUCUUUCUCUCCCUCUUCUCCAAACUUUCGAAAUAUCGUCAGUAUCAUCAUUCAAAAUUUAUUCUAAAUUAUAAGUGUUUUUAUAAAGUCAAACCAUCUUCGCCUAAGUAGCAAAGCAAACCAUAUCUAAAACUCUCAUCUAUGUAUAAUAUAUGUGUAAUACAUUAUGGUGCAUGUUUAUAUAUAGUUUUCAAGUACAACAAGGAAGAGGACUCCGUCCUCGUGGUGUCACACGAAAAAUUCAACUCAUGCAACACGACCGAUCCCUAUCUGAGGCUCGACGGCGGGUACUCGGUGUUCGAUCUCGGCCGGUCGGGGCCCUUCUUCUUCAUCAGCGGCAACAAAACCCGGUGCGACAGCGGCGAGAAGCUGGUCAUUGUGGUUCUAGCCACCAGAACCAGCAAGAACAGCCCUCCCCCGCCGCGCUCUCGUCCGUCUCCCGCACCGACUCCACGGUCCGAUUCGAACCCGCCUACCCGAAAAGCCACGCCGCCGACUUUGUUCCCAUCCAACUCUUCUUCUUCGGCACCAUCCUCUUCAUCCGUUUUGAGGGUUCCAGAGAUUGUUUCCUUUGGAGUGGUUGCUCUUGUCAUGGUCGGGGCCUUUCCUUAAAGUUAAUUUGAUUUGGUGAGUUGGUAAUUAAUUUGUGGUCGUUUUAGAUUAAUGUGUUGUCACCUUUUCUUCUUUAGGUUUAGAAUAAAGUAAUGCAGGGAGGGUUUGUGAUCGAUUUGGUAAUUAGAGUUUUAAAUCUCUCUUUAAUUAAAGAGGAUUGUGUGUUUAACUUAAAGCGAGUAUUAAAUCAUCUUUAUGUUAUGUCAGUUACUUAAUUACUACUGAUUUAAGACAGAAAGCGCUUCUUAUUAUGUUAUAAACACACAGUAGUUAAAUAUAAGAGGAAAAUUUUUACCCGCAGUUCCUUUUGCUAUUUAUGAGAGUUGGGCUUAUACAAAAUCAAAACCAACAUUUAAUGCGGAGCAGUUGAGUGUGGCAUUUUAAGUAGCCCAUUUGGUGAAUUUGUGCAAGCAUUUCAUGUGAAUCCUAAACGGAAUAUUGCUGAGUACUGCAAAAUUUUAGUGGGGGAACAAAAUAAAAGCUAUACAUCCCCCAUACCUACUUCUUAUGAGCUUUUUAUAGUAUAUAUAUAUAUAUAUAUAUUGAAGGCCUGAAAUAUAUAGUUAAUUAUAAUUUUUGGCAUGACCCAGGAAUCAAUGUGGAAAGAAAAAAAAGAAAUAUGAGUUAUUGGCUUUAACCAUAGUUUUGAGUCUAAUUAAUAGGAUACUAAGCCUUUAAAUUAAUACUUUUCAAUUUUAAUUAAUGCCGCCUCUUUCCAUCUCUCUCUGCUUCUAUAUAUAGUCCCCGUCACGUAUAGUGUUUCACUCUUCUAUGAUUGUUGCUUAAAUCUUUGAAACCUGUUGUUAAAUUAUCACUGAAAAGUAAAAAAAAUCAUCAUGAAAUGCUACAAUCGAUCUAUACCAGUUAUAAGUGGUGUUUCAAAUCUUUUUCAGAAUAAACAGGGUUUGAACGAGAUGUGAUUCUUGCGUGAUUAAUCUCAACGAUGCUUUAACUUAAAAAUUAUAUGGUGGCAGAGAAGUGGAACGAAAUAAAAGUGCCUUAUUGUAUUUGUAGGUUGAGACUCGAGAUGUGUGCUGUUCCCUUUCAUUAAUCAAAAACAUACUCGUUUAGUAUAGAUUAAACUUGUCAUGUUUGGGUUCGGAUUCGGGUAGAAUAAAAUCUUGAAUAUCUGGACCCAUUAACAUCCUUAGUCGAGAUGUGCGUUGUUCCCCUCGUGCUAAAUAUAGUUAUAACUCUCUCUCUGUGAAGUUUUAUUGUAUAAGAAGCUCCUCCUCCUCGUUAUAUAUAGUAUGAGGACAUUGGGGAGGGAUAAACGGGGCACCCCUUAUAUUAAGGACGUGAGACACCCCGAACCAAGCGGCCACAACACAAAACCCCCACCAUACAUACAUCUCCUUUCCCAACCCAACCUUUCCUCUCUAUCUCCCUUUCAUUCGCAUACACGCACUCUCCCUCUUCCCUGAUCAGGAAGGGAAAGGGAUCAACAUCAUCACCCAAACCAUCCAAUAAAGCGACAUCACCCAAUUGCCGAACAAAACCAAUAAGUAUCAGCUCUCGCUCUCCUCCUUGCAUGGCUCUCCCCCGCCCCGCCCUCCUCCUCGCCGUCCUUCUCCUCCUCCUCCUAUCGGUGGCCUGCGCAGCCCACUCCGCGCCCCUCGAUGCGGACUGGGGCCUCGCACGCCUCGACUUCGAAGAUGACGAGCUCACGCAGGCGUGCGACGGGACGGUCGGCGAGUGCGCCGACAAAGACGACGAGGACGGCAGCGCGGAAGCAGAGUACGUCGACACCCGCCGUGGCCUCGCUGCCGCCUACCCGGGCCGCACGAGGUUCAUCAGCUACGGCGCACUGAUGAAGAACCGAGUACCCUGCAGCCGCCGCGGCCAAUCCUACUACAACUGCCGCCGCCGGCGCCGCGCCAACCCGUACCACCGCGGGUGCAGCAUCAUCACCAGGUGCGCCCGGAUUCUCCGGUGAAAAUCGAACACGAGAAGAAAGGAGAAAGCAAAAGAGUUUUUACGUGCUGAUGUUUGUUAGUGUUCCACAUGAAGACGCCCCUUCUUGGUUCCCUUUGAUUGUGUUUUAACUUUUAACUGCCCAGAGUCUCAAACAUGUGCUUCUAAUUGACACUAUUUACUUCUUUACGACUUCAUAACAUGCGACUGCGAUAAUAAGGACCUUUGCUGAAGUAUAUUUCUAGCUAAAAUUUUGAUGUAACGCAUGCAGGAAAGCGAGGAAUUUUAAUUGUUUCAGUACUCGCAAAUUUCAACUACGAGGUGUUUUUAACACACAAGCCUCUUAGAAUACACAUCGAAUAAAAAAGAUUGUACUGAUUAAAAAUGUGGCUAAGAUUUGAGAAAAGAUCAUUUGUAAUGACUAGUUAGUAAACAAUCUUAGCAGGGUGGAAAAUGAGGCGCUUGAAAUUGACGUAUCCUCAUAAUACAAGUUUCAUAUGAUUGACAAAAAGACAGGUGAAAUGCAAUAAUAAUUUUUAGCAAGGAAGUUUUACUGCUCUCAAGGGGGAAAAACAUAAGAAAAUAAUGUAUCAGAUGCCGCAUUACUCGAAUUAAAUUAAGUUGCAUAAGAGUAACAGUACUUUCGUUGAGAGCUGCAAGAGUGACAUCAAAAAGCACAAAAUUUUCUGCUAUGUACCUACCUCUUUCAUGUGGAGCACUCCAUGCCGAACUGUAUUUACGACACCAGCCAAUUUUUCAGAAGAACCACCAUCUUCGCCGUUUGGGCUUCUGCAAGACAUAAGCAACUAUUUUAUUAUAUUAUGUAUUGCCUUUAAUGCACAUUACUUAAAGGAUCACUGUAUUUAUUCUCGCUGCUCCUAGAACAAAGAAGCAAAGUCAGUAUGGUAGGCCUUCUCAUCCAGAGAAUAAGCGCAUUAAAGUAUUCCAUUUAUUAGCGUAUAAACAAAAAUUUGUAGAAACAACAGUACAGAUAAAAGUGAGAGGUUGCAAACCUUGUUUUCUUGAGCAUUUGACUUUAUGAGUAUAGGUGUAGGAAGAUCUCCUUUAUCAAUGUUCUGGAUGUAUGGUUGUACCUUCUCCUUCAAUAGAUCAUUCAACUGUAGCAGCAAGACAAAAGAUAUAUCUUGAUAAUAGAAACAUGUUGUAAUAAUGUAUGUAUACUGUCCAUGUUCAAAUGCUUACACCUUUGUCUACGCAAUUAGUAUGCUGUACGUUUGUUGGGUAUGAAAAAAUAGGUGAAAGAUAAAUAUCAGACAUUUAAAUGCCCUCGUACGCAGUUCGCCAAGAAGAAGUUAGAUAGAUAGCCAGUCUAUUAAUUUCUGGGGAAUGUCUUUUCCUCGUUAUAUAAUUAGAAGAUUUCCAAUCAGCACUAGUCAUGCCUUUUCUCCGUCCUCAGUCUUAUAUGUCACAGUAUCACCUCCUUUGAUUGCCAUCGUCAGGAGUGCUGCAUUUGCCGCUGUAAACACAGAUUCUUCUCUAAAUCUAGCAACACUGCAAUUGUUUCUUACUUAAUAGGCAACACAUCUAGAUUAGUUCUUUAUCUCUUGUCCACUGCCAUGCUAGUCAUGCUAGUCUAAGUCAUUAUGAUGCCCGAAAAGACAGUAAAAAGUAUAUGGGGGAGAAGAAGAGGUAAAGGCAAUAAAAGACAACCCCAUACCUUGUCUUGUCGCCAUUUGGCUUCCCACUGAGAGUCCAAUAUCUUGUCAGCAAAUUCUCUUUGGGCAUUAAGAAGAGUUGUCAUCUCCAGCAAUUUCUUUGGAUCUUUCAGGUCUUCCUCAGUCCAUGAAGAUGCAUUUAGUGGAAGGUCCAACUCCUGAGAAUAUUCUAAUUUGGAUUUAGAACAUUAAAUCUGUGAUAUAUUUCAUAUUUUGCUUCCUGAGAAAACCAGAAGGCUCAACUAGCUAAGCUUUGCUCCACAAUGGUAAACAAAAAUUGACAGAGUCCUCACUUAAAUAAUAUGGACAUCGCGUGUAAAAGAGUUCACAUAAUGUGACGGUACAUUUUGUUCACAAAAAGUCGGCUAAUACAGAGAGUGAUGUGCCUGAGUUAUUUCAGAUUCCUUUCUCAUAUAAAAAGAACAAGUACCAACAUGCUGAUCAAAUAUGAAUUUCUUCUCUAUUAAACAAUUAAGUUAUGACAACUAAUAGCGAUUCUUAAUACUUACACCCCAAUUGAGAGGUCGAGGAGGUACAUCAAGCUUCAUGACUUCCCCCUCCAGUGCUUUCUUUGCCUUGUAGUAGGGAAUGUUUUUCACGAUAACAGGGUCAUCCCUAGCACGAACAGGAUCUAAAGAUAUAAGAGCCUGCAAAGUUUAAAACAUUAUCAGAUUGGGGCUUUCCUCCAGUCAAAUUCAAUAUUUUCAUGGGUACCAAUGUACCAUGGUGAUAUAGAGACAUCUACAGUCUAUAGAUUCCAUGAAAGGAGAAAACCAUCAUUGAUAAAGAGAUUAAGACUCACGUCUUGGAGGUGCUCCCAACCAGGUUUUCGCUUUGCAACCACAUCUCGUAGCUGAUCAUAGCGCAUAGAUUCCUAAAGCAAAUAGAAAUCACCAUAAAUCUUUUUUUUUAAUCACCAUAAAUGUAUUUUUUUUAAAUCACCAUAAAUUACUAUGCAAACAACAAUCUAACUUAAACUCUAGUCUCAUGUAAAUUUCAAUAACAGAUACAUGACCCAGUAAAAACAAGGUAAACUGUUUAAGAUUAAGAAGAAUUUUACGACAAUGAGUACAGAAAAACUUAGUAAAUAGUAAUACAGAAAAACUAUCAUACAAUGUUGCAUAGUUGAUAUCAAAAUCGAAGAAAUCUUCAUUGCUUUAUAUUCCUCCACAGAGCUUGAAAUAAAUUUCCAUUUUCAUAGUUAGAAUAAAGUUGUGGCUGUCGCAGUUUUCUAAGCUUGCCAUGAAAUUUGCGAAUAUGAACAUUAGUUGAUAAAAGGAAAUUGAUGAGAACAUACUUCACAGAAUUAGGAACAAAAUGGUUAAAAUAGAGAAGAGCAUUAACCGGUCAUGUGGUUGAUAUACUUCUUAAGCUAGCAAUGAAGUUAAUAACUGCAAACUAAUCAUACUUCAUGUAACCGAGUUUGUCAAAUAUAAACCAACAUAUAUAAAAAUUGAGUUGCACCGAGAUAAAUGUUGAGGGGGAGGACUGAGUUGCUGAAAAAGAUACAACUAUAUCCUAGACAAAUUAUGGCAUCAAAUAUGAGCAAAAACAAUGCAGCUUGACAUAUAUAUCAUGUAAUCUACUUACCUUGUAGGCCCACCAAAUCUUUUGCUUGACAUCAUCAUCAUAAUUAAAACCCCCCAGAACCUGUGGUAAGGUUAUCAACCAAAAAGCAGCAACUUUUGGGUCCCUCAUGCUAUUGACAAUGUUCUGAGAGAAGAAAAGGCAAAAGCAAAGGACAAGUUAAACUAAUUGUAAUAUAUUUGUCAUCUAGCAAAUGAAAACAUAAUGUUUUUCAGCUACAUGAACACGUUUCAAAACAACAGGAGCAACACGAAAUGAUAAAAAUAUUUUUGAAAAACAUAUAAGUCAAUAAAGUAUUGGGAACAAUCAAAGCACUGGAAAGUGUAAAAUUAAUAGAGCUCUAAGGCUUUGAUUAGGGAAAUUGGAAUGUUGAGGAAAAAGAAUUAGUCAAAUUUGAAACUUUGUUCCCCCUGGAAAUAUGGGAAGAAAUUUUCAUGUUGAUUGGGUUCUGACUUAGAAGAAACAACUGUUACAGACAGAGCAAUUGCUUGCUUUUUUCCGGGACAUGAUCAACCAAAUAUUGAGUAAUUAGCCAUGUGAGGCUGAGAAAAGCUGCAGACACAUCCAGCUAAAUAUGUAGAUCGUCAUAGAAAAGUCAGCAUUUUGCUUCUCACGGGUUAUUAGUAAUCAACAGUGAAAGAACACGUUCCCAUGUUACAUUAUCUAAUGAACUACAUAAUAACGUGAAAAAGGAAUCAAAAUUCACAGAGAGAAGUCAUAGUACUUGCCUCAUAAGGAUAGUCCAUCUUCCUCAAAACAUUAUAUGCUUUCCAAGGAGGCUCCAUAAUCUAAAAAGGAGUUGUAGGUCGUUAUUACCUAGUUGAAGUAUUGAAAACAGAUGUAAAUUAUAAGGUGUUACAACCGCAUUUUACUCACCGACAGACUAGCUGAUGCUUAUUAGAAAUAGUUAUAAAGCUAAAAAAGCACCAGCAAAACACUAAGCAAUCUCAAAAAUGCCUCAUUCCCUCCUUCCCACCUAUCUCAUUUUCCCAGUGAAAACAAUAAUUAAGCAAGUACUUACAUCAUCUGCAGAAAUUCUAACUUGCAAUCGAUGUUUGCACUCGGGGCAACCCAUUACACCCUGCAGUAUCAAACUAAAAAGCUUACAGAAAUACAAGGUGGCAUUUUUCCAGGUUUGUAAACAAAGAUAAUGAAACUUCUAUGAAGCAUAUAAGAAAUUAUAAGCAGCCAGAAAGUAAAGUAUCAAAAUCAAGUAUAUCUCAGCUCAAAAUAUUCAGAUUCAGCAACCUUGAUUCAAAAGAAAUACAAAACUAAAAUUGAAACUGAAGCAUCUUACAGAUCCAUCACAGUUUGGACAUUCUUUGGAAGGCAAUGGCACAGAAAGAUCAACAGUAGAAGGAAGAUGGACCAGCUCAGCACGAUUCUCCAAAAUAGCCUCUGCAACACGCUCAGCUGUUGGUCUCUCUCCACUACAAAGAAACAUUAGGAGGUCUAAAGAUUAGUAAUCAGAUAUUACACUACUCACAACACUUUUAAAUCCAAAUAGUGGCAUAGGCAUAAUUAUCACCAAGCACACCGCAGUAAUUUUCCAUCUGAAGAAACUUAAAACAGCACGCACACAAUUACAGAAAGUUCAAUUAGCAGAAUAAAUGUUUUGCUUUGCGCGAGAAAAAAGGAGUAAUCACGUGAAGUGUGAACCACUAGAUUCGUAAAAAGCAGUUUUGAUCCAUACAAAUGUGUGGAUCUCAUACAUAUUUGCCCUAAGAACAUCUACGAAUGGAGUUUCAACUAUUUCCAAUGCCUCAGUGGCAUUACUCAAUAAAUCCUUCCCAUGGGCCCAGUGCCCAUUCAGCCCAGCUAAAGCUUCUACACAAGCAGAAUCCGAAUAGAGAUUUUCACAAAGCCCAAUAGUUUUUCAAUUAUAGCCUCUCAAUAGCUUACCUUCAGAAGCAGAGCAGAAGUUUUAAACUUGAGGUUUUGUGUUUGGGGGUCAAGAUGCUCAGUUAAACCUGAUGCCCAGAUAAAUGCGCUAAUGCUUUUUUGUCACAAAUUCCCGGAUUGAUUUUUGAGUAGAAAAGUUGUCCAAGAGGUUUUAUAGCAUGUGUGUUGGAUGAAUAUAUGUUAUAACUGGAUGUAGCAAAUCCUUAGGUCCUAGAAUGACGAUGACAAAAAGGCGGGCAAAUUAAAUAUGCAGUGUAAUUUUCCAAACCAGAAUCCAGAAAGAACGGAACUAACAUUGUAAACAAAAGUGCUUCUGAAGUAAUCAAGUAAGCGAUCAAUUAGGAGGGGAAAAAAAGCACCUUUUCGGGGUGUAGUUUUUCACUUGAUAAUUCACUUGUCCCGUACCCUUGCACAUAGUACACCGUAAUGCUUGCCAACCAUUGCAGGUUUGGCAAUUCCUACAACCACAAACAAGCAAUAUCAAUAGCAAUAACACCACCGAAACAUCCAGCUUUUGUAAGAACAGCGAUAGUUUUGACAUAAUAGCUAAUAUUUGUCCGUGCAAGCUUAAUUAAGUUGAGUGACGAUACAAAUUCUCCGCAUACACCUGCACCUGUAGCAACAUUCAUACUAAUCUACCCAAGCCAAAUUCCCUCCUACCUUUUUCUCGUCGUAGAUAUCAAAAAUUAGUAGCCAAGCACUCAAAAUUAGACCAAUACGACGACGCGAAACCGUCAAACACACCGAAACAAAGCGAAGGAACCACCUUUGGCACAGCACCUUCUUUCCCAGCUCCAGCGCGAUAUCAUACGUGCCCAGAGUCGCCACGAGCUACCACCAGCACAGACCCAGCCAUCAAAAAUUAGGGUUUCAAGGAAUGCGAGGAGAGAGAGAGGGAGAAAGAAGAGGAUGAGGGAGGGGGGUGGGUUUGCGUACGAAGAUGGCGGAGAAGGAGACGCGGGAGGCGAGCUCGGGGACGCCGAAGCCGCGCGGGGCGGAGCCGACGAGGUCGUAGGCGAGGGUGAAGGGGGAGAGCACGAGCUUGAUGGGGAGCUCGAGCAGGUCGAUGAUCUGUUGGCCGUAGCGGGCGGUGAAAACCUUGUAGUGCACUUCCGCGAACUGCUUCGCCGCCUUCACCAUCUUAUCCGUUCCCCGCGACAUCCCCGAACUCCACUUCCGCCCCCGAUAUUCUCACUCCCAGUAACGGAGCGGCGCGGGCACGGGCAAAGCGUAUAACGAAGGGGAUCAGGGACAAUUUAGGAAAUGGGGAAAUGGGCUAUUGACUAUCGGGCUAAAGGGCCCAUUAGUUUCUCUUAUGGGCUAUUAGGCUUACCUACGUGCAUACGACCACACAUAGCAUGUAAAUGGGGCGGAUCAAAUUAGGCUCCUUUAGAUCCAAUGUAAUUCUGUGGGCCCUCCUAUCGUACUGCGUUGAAUUUUGUAUAGAAAUAGAAGGUUAAGUAUGCAUGUGUCCAGUCUAGAGAUUUGGGAGAUGAUGUCUGGUCUGGGAUGGGUGGAUGGCUAGGAAUGGAAUGCAGUCAGUGAGUAAUACGCUAACAGAACUAGUGGCCUGCUGAUGGAUCAUCUGGAAGGUCAGAAAUGGUGCGAUUUUUAGGAAGACCCAGUUGGACCCCCUCCUAGCAGUCUACAAGAUUAACCAAUUAAUAAACUUAUAAGAGCAAUUUCUCUCAGCAAAUAGGCACUUCUGUAAUCGAUAGCAUUGUUCUUCUUCUUCUUCUUUUUUUGUCCGCCCUCUCCGAGGCUAAUGAUGCCUCACCCCACUAUAGCUUAGUUCAUCCUUUCGAUGAAUGAAACGGAUAUCAUGCUAUCUUUUUCUAUAUACACCUCUUUUGCCACAUUAAUUAAUUGCACUAUGCUUAUAGCCUGGGGGGAGUUUUUCACAGGAAACAGACUUAAUUUAUACACUUCUCAGAUAUUAUUAGAUAAUUACAAGCACGACAUCGUCUUCGGUGCAGCAAACUAGAUCUGAAUCCGACCCGAAGCUUAAUGUACCAAUGAUCUGCUUUGAUAAAUGUGAAACUAUGUUAGAUGUAAAACUUGGACAUCAGAUGCAGCUUUUUUUUCAUUUUUCUCCUACCGAAGCCAAAAUUGAGAAAAACUUUGCUCAUUACAGGCAAAUUGUUGAAGUGAGACAAGAUUCGUUCAUCUUCAGCUUGUUGAUGAGUGAUGAGCCCAAAUGAAUUUUUAGGUAUGAACAUGGAUAAAAAAACUGUGGGCUAUAAGAAUAAUAAUAAUAGCAACAGUGGUAAUAUUAGACGAAAUACUAGUGGCGAACUAAAGAUCCUUAGAAGCCUUAAAAAAGGGAAUAUUUCGCCUUGUAAGAGGGGUUGACAUUUUCCCGUUGGAUCGCGAAUUCCGAGCACCAAAAAUUAAGCUUAAGAUUGAUUUCAUUUGCAACAUGUUUACAUAUUUAUGAACAAGAAAGUUGAAGCAAUAAAUUAAAAGUAGAAAAAUUGUUGCCACAACUCCAAUCUCACAAUGUCAUGUAGGAUCCUUUUUAUCCCUUUAAAAAACAAAAAAAAGGAAAGAAAUCUAUAUGUAUGAUCGUAAAUUAAGCCAAACCAAAUAAACCUACUGCAAAUGUAGCACUAUAUACAUUUGAAAGAACCAUAACCAAUACGGAUAUAUACCAAUCAUAAGUAUGAUAUUUUUUUUUCUUCCGAAAAAAAAAAACAAAACUCUCUAACCAAAUAUAAAUUACACUCACAACGGACUUUGCAAAUGACAUUGAAAUCAAAACAAAAAAGGGGGAACAAAAAAAAGAGCAAAAUCCAUUUACGUAUGAUCUUUUUUUUUUGAGAAAGGCUUUAGGGAUGUAAAAAUAAUUAAGACAUGUUAAAAAAUUAAUAGCCCCUGAAAUGCAUAUCUCACAGAGUCUUUAUUAUUAUUGCAUCAAAAUUAACAGAACAAAAUAAAUAAAUAUAAAUAAAUUGAGGACAACAGCAUUUCUCUUUCAUUGAAUUACCAAUACAAUUCUACAAAACGUUUAAGGAUUUCUUUCUUUUUGCUCAUAUAAUUGUUCUCGGAAACAAUUGUUCAUCCCUGUGAACCAUUUUCAUUAUAAAUUGUUCAUUGAUGAAUGGCAAAAAGCUUAUGUUUUACCCGAACCCAAUUCGAAUCGCUAUAUAUCAACAUUUCCAGCACAUUAUUUCUAAAUAAAUACCACAAAUGGUAGCCGUGCUACCUACUCUCAUCAAAAAAAGAUAAAUUUUUAACCUUCUUUUAGUAGAGGGAAUAAGAGAACCCAAUAUUCUCGGCUCAAAAAGAAAAAAUCACACGGUGAUCUAUAAAAUUAUAUAUUAAGAAUAAAAUAUAUUAAAAAAGUCUACCGAUGUCCCUAACCAAUAAAUGUCGACGAAAAUUAUAGCAUAUAAUAUACUCCCAUAGCCAUUAAUUACUAAAAAAAAAAAAUUUCUUUAUAGCUGAUCUUUGUAUUCUUCCUUAUAAACACUAAAAAUACUUAAUAUAAUAAUAUAAAAUAUUGUAUGAUAUUCAACUAAAGAACUUAGUCAUGCCAGCACAAAAAGGUAAUAAAUAACCUACAACUGACAUUCUAUAAUAUUAUUAAUUAUCUCAAUAUAAAACAAAUAAUCUCAUGCUGUGAAAAUAACUAGAACGAUAAAUUUUCCCACAAAAAUAAUCAUAUAUCAUACACAUAAACAAUAUGCAUUUAUCACCAAUGGAACAAAUAAUUAGCAUCCUAAUAUAUGAGUUUGGAAUACUAUACAAACUCAAAGACACAAACUCCGAUGUAUGUAAGAAUCUCAAAACAAAAUCUCUAGAUUGGUAUGAAACCCUAUAAAGAAAAGAGCUCCCAUGGGACCUCACAACAUAACAUAGAUUAAAGCAAAUAAAUUCGUUAGAAGGAAUAAUAAUAAUAACCCAAUAAAAUAGUUUAGUGAUUAAUUUUUAAAAUGAAGCUCAACUAAAACAUUGCUCGAAUAUCCAUAAACCCCAACGCUCCAUAAAAUUCUUAAAGGUUAUUAAUACAACAUGAUUGGUGUGUAUAUAUAAUAUUAGCUUAGAUUUGUCAAAUAAUUAACUUUAUAUAUCUAAUUCAAAUUGAUAGGACAGUUACCAAACGCCAAAUCUUAUAAUUGAUGGAAGAAAUUAGCAUAUCUGAAAAAUUAACUCUAAUCCAUUUACUAUUCCUAGUAAUAAUAAGAUUUGACUAAGAUGAAAAAACUAAUCAUAAAACCAUAAACAAUACCUUUAUCGAAAACAAUUAUUCAUAGAUUGUAAAAGAAUAAGAGACAACAUAGAAUACAUUGAAACAAAAACCUUAACCCCUCAUAGAACAACUGACCGUAUCUACGUAAUUAUAAAAAACUGAUGUUAAUAAAUCUGAUCCAAGUCUAAUUUAUCAUUUCCAGUUAAAUUUAUUUCUAAAUAAAAAUAACAAACGAAAUAGCAACUACCUAUCCCAAAAAAAAAAAAAUCUCACAGAACUAAAACAGGAUUCCAAAUCGUUUGCUAAUAAUCCUCCAACUGACAUAUACAAUUUAUGAUCUUUAAAGUUUCAAUUAUUACAUUAUAUAGAAUAUUAAAGCCACUCACUAUCAUACUUAAAGUCCAAAUAAUUCGAAAGUACUCACAACUUUCUCCCACAAGAAGGUAAAAAUUUGAAAAUAUUUACGGUAGUUAUUUUUGGUUAGAUGGGACAUCUACGCAUCGCUCAUAAAAUAAUAAUCAAAAUAAUAAUAAUAAAUAUAAUAAUACAUUAAGGUAUGAUGUGGCGAUGAAUCAAAACCCUGCCGUCAUCCACUACGACUGCUCCAUCGUGUGAACCCCCCGCGCCACUCGGACUUCGGCCAAGAAACCACUACUGUGCGUUCCGUCCUCCACCUCCUCCUCCCUCUCCUCGUCAACGUCAAAUCGUAGCUUCAUCUAUUUACCAAAUUAUAUAAAUUACAGAUAUUUGUGAGUUCACAGACAUAAUCUUUCCAAAAAUUUUAAAAUUUUUAAUUAACUAAAUUUAAUAUGGUGAUUUGAUAGUCAACCUCGUUUAUUUUAUAGAUUUAAAUUUAUAUUCAUAUCAAUAUCUAAUAGUUAAAUUUAUUGAAGUAAUAAUAACUUAAAUUUAAAAUCAAAAUAUAAUUUGACUUAUUCAAAUCAACCAAAUUAAAAUCUGAUAUAGAAUAAAAUUUUAAAAGAUUAAUAAGCCAAAUCUAAAUAGACCAUAAUUCCUAAUCAUACAUACUGUUUAGCAUUAAAAUCAAAAGUCCAGACAAAUUUAUUUAAAUUUUUAACAAUAUACUCACCAUACAAAAUGCGACAACAUUAUCGAAGAAGAAAACACUAUAUUAUAUAAUUUUAAAUUAAUAUCUAGAAGUAUAUUUUUAAAACACAGGCUCUUUAAAAUGUGCAAAUUCAUUUAAAGAAUUAAUUUUUAAUUUUGAGCCCUCACGAUUCGAAUUCUUAAAACGAGAUAUACUUAUGCAACUACCUGUAAAUCAGUUGAGAUAGACUAGAAUAAUAUAUCAUCCAUAAAAAAAAAAAAAAAAAUCAUGCAAUAUCACCUAAGCUAAAACCAAACUAUGGAUUUAAAAUCCAAAUUUAAACGAUGAAUAUAAAUACGCACCACACGAUACUUCAAAAUAUUUAAUUUAUAGACUUUAUCAAAAUAUAAUUUCAUAUAUAUUUUUUCAUGUACACAAAAAAAAAGAAUUUUUAGCUCACCAAUAUAGUCAUUGCAAAUAUAAUCAAUACACAGUAGAUAAAUAUAGAAUCGAUCUUUUGAGUUUUAGAGUCCUCGCCAGUGCAUAUGAUACACAAUGAGUGCAUGCAAUAAUAUAUUAAUCCCUUCUCCUUAAUUAUAUUUGAAUACCAUAUUUUGUUUCCCCAAACACAAUGUUCCUAAUAAGCUAAAUACUCUAAAAACUUAUACAGGUAAACUCUAAUCACAAAAAAAAAAAGAGAUGCGGCAUUGCAAAAUAAUAAAAUUAUGACCGGAUCGGCCGACUAAACACCCCUCACCGUGCUUCAGGACGAACCGGAUAAGCUCCACCACCGUCGACGUCCACUGUCCCCCGAGAAAAACAACAUUAUAAUCUAACGUAAUAAAAUAAUAAAUAAUAUAUUAUAAAUAGUUAAUAACCUGGAUUUAUAAAACCUGAUAAUAAUACGUAAUUUCAUGAGUCAUAUAACGAUCUUAAAUCCAUUCCAUCUACAGUAGCAUCGUACAAUCAGCAACAAGAAAUCAACCAAAAUCAAUACAUAAUAUACAUAUUGGAGAAUAAAAUCUGAGAAAAAUUAAAAAUAAAUAGAUAGUAUAUAUAAUAUAUAAUACCUCUAGAAUACACAUAAAUCCGACGUUUAACCCUACAAUUUUCGGAUAUACUUUGCUUCCUGUGAUCGGGUCCAUUAAAUAAGACUAAACCAUUUAAACUACUAAAACAAUAUUACAAUGCACUUUCAUUGUUCUCUUAUCCAUCAGGUGAACAAAAAAAUGUGAAAAAAGAAUAUCUGGUAAAAAAUGAUGAUAGCAUCUGUAAUCAAGAUCAAGAGAUAAUAAACUUUUUAACAUAUUAAAGAAUUUCUACACAAAAAUUCAAAUAAUUGGAAUAAUCUUACAACCUUAAACGAGAAAACUCUCUUACACCAUUAAAUUAUCAAAUUCUUAAAACCCUUGGGAAUCAUGGCCCAAUAUUCGAAAGAAAAAUUUAAUUUCUAAAUCACUAUCAAUUAUAUCAUUCAACAGCCGAUCGUCACAUUGAACCUCUCAUUCAAAAACAACUCAUAGAAAAACGCCAUCCCUACUACUGAAAUUCUAGUCAAACAUAAUACUAGUACUCUAAUUCUACAGAUAAUACUACCAUAUAUAUAUAUAUAGUUGAUCUAGGAUACUUUUACAAGCAUCAUCCCCAUGUUGCUAUCACGUUUUUAGCCAUUGGAUCUACUUUUUGAAUACAAAUAGCCCUUGGAUCAAACACUAUUCCACCUACCACCAUCUACCACCACCUACCACCAUCAUCUUAACCUCACAUCUCUCCAUUCAAGGGCUAAAAACACACAAGUAUCACUCCCAUGAUACUUUUACAAGUAUUCUAGCCCUACUCUAUAUAUAUAUAUAAGAAUAAUAAAUUUACCGAAUAAUGUCACCUUAGCUGCGCAAAUUAAUUACAAAGAAGGAGAAGUUGCAUUGGUCUUCUUAAUUUUUAAAUUGUGAAGGAAUAAUUUUGUUUUAAUCAGAUUAAAAAGCCUUAAUUACUAUUCCUUCAAACUAGUAAAGCCUUAUUAUAUAUACAAUGCCUUUAAUUUUGACACACAAAUUUGGCUCAGAUCAAAUGCACAAUAAAAAAAAUACAUAUACUAAUAUUUCAUUGAAACCGCGCAUCUCAUUGAUUCUUUUGAUUUUUACAUUACCGAGUGAAAAUAAUUUGUUAUAACAUUCCACUUAGUAAAAAGUAUAAUUCCAAAUUAGGCUUCACGUUGAGCUUUGUUCUUGCAUCAUUUACCUAAACCGAACUUUAUUCUUACUAGAUUAGAUUAAUUAGAGCAUAUAUAGGCUCCUCUUAACAAACUUGGAUUGGGGCAAAAAAUAUUCAUUAUAUGGUAAAAAAAAAAAUAAAAAAUAGUACCUCUUCAAUUCCAAUGGAGUAGGAGUACUGUUGACUAGCCUAUACUCUCUCUGGAUCUUCUCACUAGCUAUAAAACACUCGUAAAGACUAUUUUUCACCAAGAGAUAGUUAACCAUGCACCAUUAAAAACCUAAGGAGCUACAUCAAUAUAUAUAGGAGAGAUUAUUUAUAU